CCUCAGUCUCAAAUCGGAAGAACUCAUUUAAAAAAAAUCGGAAGAACUCCGCAGGGGGAGAAGAGAGGCCGAGCUCGAAGAUUGGCGUGCUACUGCACGCCCAAAGAGAGAGGGAUGGCCGGCGUUGCUGAUGGAGCGAGUUUCCCCCCUACCAUUCUUGUCCAUCUUUUUCUUGUUUGUCUUGUUCUUGUUCGUGGUACACCGUAGAUCUGAAGAGAUUAGGUUUGUUUUUUGUGUGGGUCAAGCGAAGAUAAAUAGCUUCAACUCUAUAAUCGACUCCAGGAUUUUUUUAGUUAUUUUUUUGUGUCAUUAUUGUUCAAGCAAUCAAUAGAUUGGAGGUGUUUUUUCUGUGGUUCAUGCGGAUGUAAGGUUUGGGAUAGUUUUUCUAGUGCAUCAAGGGUGGCCAGAGUGAGCGGCUGCUUUUGUUUUUUUGUUAGGUGAUGUAGAUGUAACGCCAAGUAAACUGCACUCUUUACUGUUUAAUUUCAGUUGGUUCAGUUAGUUUAGUUCUUUUUGAUUCUUUUUCUGAAAUUCAUGUCUGCUACGCUGUAGGAGUUCGUCACUGUGCCCAUGUAUCCAGUAGAGUAGAUGGCAUCUUGUAUGUCCAUAUUCCCCCCUAAUGCCUGUUCUUUUUUUGUUUUGUAUCAAAUAUGUGAUUAGUAGUUUCAAGCAGAGAAUCACCCCAUAGUUUAGACCUUAUUUUCUUAGGUUUGAUUCUUUUGUGCAUUGAUGCACAAUAGUCUCUCGCUCUCGCGUGUCUAUCGACAAUAUCGGUGAGGUGGAUUUUUGAUGAUGAAACCGGAUUCUUUGCUUGUAGCUAGAUUCACUUACCUCGAUAAAUAAAGCCCUGUUUUUAUGUGUCAUCUUUUUUGUCAUUCGGAUAUUUUGCUGCGUCUUUUGAGGUUCUUUCCAGUAAAGAUUAUUUUACAACCAGUAGCACUAAAUUUCUUAGUAGGCCAAUAGACUGAGAUGAAGUGUGUUUCUCUGCUGGAUUGUACUGGAAGUAGUUUUUUAUCAACAUGUUUUUUCUAUGCUUGUAGGUGCAUAUAGAGAAAUUUUUACACCGCUCCGUACAUCCUCUGUACAGAGAGUAUAGUGCACUUUUUUUACACCCUCUGUUCAUGAGUAGGUGACAAGAGAGAUGUGUGUUUAGGAUUUUUUGCGAAGUUGAACAUUCCUUUUUGUUUUUUAGUAUAUAAACCUCUGCUAGUUAUCCUUUUCUUUGGACACUUUUUUUCUUCUUGUUUUUUAUCUGGUGAGUGCUAUCACUUAUACUGUUCUUAACUGGGAUAUUUUUGGUGUCUCAAGAAGUGCUUCUCUCAUAUCCCCUCAUACACAUUACUGAAACCAUUAGUAGGAGUGAUUCAAUCGCUUGUUUUGUUUUAUUCUAGUCGAGAGGAGUAGGUCGAAGAAUAUGACUAUUGCUGAAACAUUACUUUCGCGAAAUCAGUUCCAUGUUUUUUGAGGAUUAUCUCUGAACUCAAAUCCCCUCAUAUGUAUUACUGGACCAUCACUAGGAGUUGUAUAGCCUUUCUCUUUGUUUUACUUAGGUUUUUCGCUGAAAUCUUUUCUCUCGAAACAAGAGAGAUCUUUUAUUACUGCAUGUAUUAGCAGUAGUGUGGUAUGUUUUUUUUUAUUUCUCAUAAUCCCUAUCUAAUCUGCAGCAUGUUUUUUUCUGAAAUCUUUUCUUUUUGUAAACAGGAGAUAUUACUGCUGAAAUCUAUCACUAGGGAGUGGGUUGUUUAUUUUUUAUUUAUUUUUUUGCUUUGACACUUUUUUUAAUUCAGAAGCAUGUUCAAAUCUAUCUUUUUUUGCGUAAUCAAAAAGAGAAUGAUUUAAUGAAAGUAAGUUUCUAGCAGCAGCAUGUUUUAUUUUUUUCGCCCUAAAAACCAUAUGAAAUUAGUGCAUUGUUAAUUUUUUUCUUUUGUAUAUGAAUUAAUAUGUUCUUUUGAUAGAUUCAUCGUCUUUUUUAUCUCCACAUCGCAAAUGUAUAUAUGUUUCUUUUUUUCAUCAGCGGCGACGCAAUGAUAUAUUAUCGUUAUGUCGAAAUCCUUUUUCUUCGGAAGCAUACAAGUUUUUUUUGCACUAAAAAUAAUUUAGCUGAAUAUGUAUGCGUAUCAGUAGCACAUAUUUAUGUUUUUGGCCUUAUUUUUAUGUGCAUAGGAGAUGGUUUUCAGAGUUUGUCUGAGCCCUUGCUACCGUGAGAGCAACAAGCGGCAUCAACAUGUAUGUCUAGAAGGAGUUCAAAAAUACAGGAGUAACUCCACAGCCUUUAUAUUUUUUUGUUUUUUUCAUUGUCUGAUCCUUAUUUUUAUAGGUUAUACUUAUUAUCAAAUAAUAUAUUUAUUGAAGGUUUAUUUUUCAUUGUCUGAUCCUGGAGUUUUCGAAAUAGAGGGGAGCCCAUAGUUUAACGAGUUGUUUACACUGAAUCAUUGUUUUUUUAUCAAGCGUGCCAAGCUCUUAUGAUAUGGUUGGUUCAUUUUUUAGGAGUUCAGUGUAUCUUUUUUGUAGCCAUUUUUUUCCUUACCCAUGUAUAAUGUACAAUGUGAGGGCAUAGACUUUUUGUAGAAUUUUUUUGGUAUGAUGUUUGUGUUCAACUUGUUGAUGCCGCCUGUUAAUGUACAAUGUUUGUUUUUUAAGAGUUCAGUUGUAUGUCCCAUACUAGGUAUGCAACCACACGUCUUCUACAAUGGUCGCAACUUGGGGGACCUUUGUUUUGUUGGAGGUGGCGGUGUCGAGAGAGAGGGGCCCAGUUGCAUGCCCCCACACUAGACAUGCAACUGCAUGUCUUCGAGCACGGUCGCAACUGCAUGUCUUAUAACUUGGUUGCAACUCUGACUUUGCCAGUUUCAUGUCCCACAAUGGGCACGCGGCUGCAUGUCUGCUUACUUGGUCGCAACUAGGGACCUUUGUUUUGUUGGAGGGAGCGGGGUUGAGAGAGAUGGCCCCAGUUGCAUGUCCCAUACUAGGCAUGCAACUGCAUGUCUUUUAACUUGGUCGCAACUAGGGGGCCUUUGUUUUGUCGUAUGGGGCCGCAUCGAGAGAGAUGGGUCCAGUUGCAUGUCCCGCACUAGGCGUAUAACUCCAUGUCUUCUAACUUGGUCACAACUUGGGGGAACCUUUUCUUUGUCGAAGGGGCCUACGUCGAGAGAGAGGAGCCCAGUUGCAUGCCCCACACUAGACACGCAACUGCAUGUCUUCGAGCAUGGUCGCAACUUCAUGUCUUAUAACUUGGUUGCAACACGACUUUUGCCAGUUCUCAUGUCCCACAAUGGGCANNNNNNNNNNNNNNNNNNNNNNNNNNNNNNNNNNNNNNNNNNNNNNNNNNNNNNNNNNNNNNNNNNNNNNNNNNNNNNNNNNNNNNNNNNNNNNNNNNNNNNNNNNNNNNNNNNNNNNNNNNNNNNNNNNNNNNNNNNNNNNNNNNNNNNNNNNNNNNNNNNNNNNNNNNNNNNNNNNNNNNNNNNNNNNNNNNNNNNNNCUAGGCACACAACUGCAUGUCUUCUUACAUGGUCGCAAUUGGGGGGACCUUUGUUUUGUCGGAGGGGGGGCGCGUCGAGAGAGAUGGGGCCAGUUGAAUGUCCCACACUAGGCACGUAAUUGCAUGUCUUCUAACUUGGUGGCAGCUUGGGGGACCUUUGUUUUGUCGGAGGUGGCGGCAUCGAGAGAGAGGGGCCCAGUUGCAUGCCCCCACACUAGACACGCAACUGCAUGUCUUAUAACUUGGUUACAACUCCGACUUUGCCAGUUUCAUGUCCCACAAUGGGCACACAACUGCAUGUAUUCUUACUUGGUCGCAAUUGGGGACUUUUCUUUUGUCCGAGGGAGCGGCGUCGAGAGAGAUGGGCCCUAGUUGCAUGUCCCACACUAGGCACGCAACUGCAUGUCUUUUAACUUGGUCGCAACUCGGGGGAGGCAGUUGCAUGCCCCACACUAGGCACGUAACUACAUGUCUUCGAGCAUGGUCGCAACUUCAUGUCUUAUAACUUGGUUGCGACUUCGACUUUGCCAGUUUCAUGUCCCACAUUGGGCACGCAACUGCAUGUCUUUUUACUACGGUCGCAACUGGGGACCUUUGUUUUGUCAGAGGGGGCGGCGUCUAGAGACAUGGUGUCAGGACCCCGGCUCAAUGCCACAUCGAUCUAGCAUGUAACACCUCAUAUCACUUUGCGGCCUCACACACGGUAUUCCCACGGGUGUCGCCUUACCUUUGCCCGGGACCGUUUGCGCCUUUUGGCACACGUAUAUGACAGUGUCGCUAGCAUCCAUAUGAUAAGGAGCCCGGGCUGACAUGGCUAGUCGUAAACCCAAAGCGGCACAGACUUACAGGGACAGGCAUCCAUGACCCAGCAUCGAACGUGUCGGUCAUCAGCGAGUGAAUCCAGGCUGUAGCACUGGGCUAGCAGGACUCCGGUGAACCGGGCUGUAGCGGGCUAACAGGACUCCGGUAUUCACCGCGUGACAUUUCCCCGAAGGGACAGACACAGGAACGAAGAAGGACACAUGCCGGCCAGCCUAAGUGUUCCGGAGCAGUAGCAAGCUACCGUGUAUCAGUGGAAACACUAGGAGACAUUUCCCGGUAAGAGAGGCUACUAAAGAUAAACAACUAGAUGGUCAGAUCCCACACAUACCAAGCAUUUCAAUAACAUACACACAAUAUGCUCGAUAUGUGCAAUACAACAUGGCAUCACAAAAUGACUCUACGACUCAAGUAGUUUAUUCAAUAGGCUCCGAGGAGCGAGAUAUUACAAACAUGGGUCUCAUGACCCAACAUUCAGAGCAUACAAAUCAAGCACAAGCGGAAGCUAUCAUGUCUGAGUACAGACAUCUAUAAAUGAAAAAGGCUGAGAAGCCUGACUAUCUACCAAAUCCUGCCGAGGCACAAGAUCGUAGCUGAGGUAACAAGCUAAACGUCGAAGACCACACGGAAAUACUAGUGAGACUGAAGUCUCUCUGCAAAAACAUAAAAUAGGCAAACGUGAGUACAAAUGUACCCAGCAAGACUUACAUCAGAACUAUCUACAUAUGCAUCAUUAUCAACAAAGGGAUGGUGGGGUUUAACUGCAGCAAGCCAGCUUUGACUCGGUGGCUAUCCUGAACUACGACUGCGAGUAACUUUUUUGAGGUGGCGCACACGAGUCCACAUAUUCACCAUAUCAAUACACCACUAUGGAUCCGCUCCCGUCUCCCUACGAGAACGCCAUCCAUAGCACUCACGCUUAUCUUGCGUAUUUUAGGGUAUCCACUUUCACUUGUCUAUGAACUGAUAUAAGCAACCCAGAAGUCCUUUUCCGCGGACACGGCUAUUCGAAUAGAUGAUGAUAACCCUGCAGGGGUGUACUUCUUCAUACAUGUUUCCACCACUUAGCGUCUGCACACGACAUGUGCUCGGCAGACUUCAAGCGAAAGCCGACGUGGGUGUAGACCACGACCUACCUAAACACUCAAGUCUCUAGUCCAGGUUUAUCGCCUAUUCGGAUUCCAUCCAUGAGGAGAUCCGGCCGGAGUUUCGCUCACAGCCCCAAACGAUGUGAACAGGGUUCUGUGACACCAGACGGGCGCCCGGUUUACCCGGCCACGUGCCUACCGCAUCACAGCCCACCCCUACGGUCAGCGCUGUCCACGGCCUCCAGCAUACUACAAACACCAGAAACUACUUGCAACUCCUGGACAGAGGACAAGGGUGAAUAAGAAGUCGAGCGGGGUCAUAUUUCAGGGCCCAAUGUAUGGUAGUAGCUGAAUCAUGGAUCACAAACACAGAACUCAGUUCCUGAGGACGGCUACAAUGAGACAACCCACCAUGUACUCCUACAUGGCCUCUCACCGCUACCUUUACCAAAUCGUGUUCACACACUUAGCUCACACAUAGUAGGACAUGUUCACACGCCUCUGAUUCAUCCCCGAUGAAUCAGACCUGACUCAACUCUAAGCAGUAGCAGGCAUGACAAACAAACAUGAAUGAGUAGGCACAACAGGGCUCAAACAACUCCUACUCAUGCUAGUGGGUUUCAUCUAUUUACUGUGGCAAUGACAGGUCAUGCAGAGGAUGAAGGGGUUCAGCUACCGCAGCAAGUAACAGAUGAAUCGGUGUUGUCCUAAUGCAUUAAAAGAGAGCAGGAGCGAGAGAGUAGGAUUGUAUCGGAAUGAACAAGGGGGUUUUGCUUGCCUGGCACUUCUGAAGAUAACAUUGAGUCUUCAUCAGUGUCAACGAUCACAUCAUCGGUAUCACGUCUAUCGAGAGGGGACAAAUACCGGCAACACAGAAAGGAACACAAUCAAUGCAAUGCACAAUAUGAUGCAUGAUCAUGACAUGGCAAAAUGAAUGUGUUUUGGGCUAAUGCAACUAGCAACAGAUUAAAUGAAGUUGGUUUGAAUACAAGAUUCAAAUUCAAACUCCAUAUGUGAUUAUUUAAAUGCCCUUUAAUUGAUUUGCCCUAAACAGUAGUGAUAAGUUGUUCUAACAUGCAUGAAAAUGGUACAGAUGGAUUCCUUGAAUUUUUCUGAUAAUUUUUCAUAUAUAAAAUAUUUAAUUUGGAGUUACGGUUAAUUUUCUAUGAUUUUUAGAAGUUUUAGACAUUUUCUGGAAUUUUCUGAUUAUUUAGAAUUAAAACAAUUCCAGAAAAUUAAUUAUGACAUCAGCACUGCGUCAUGCUUGCGUCAGCAAGUCAACAGGGCUGCCCCGGGUCAAACCUGACCUAUGGGACCCACAUGUCAGCUGCACAGUGAUUUAACAGAGUUUAAAUAACUUAACUAAAUGGUUAGCCGGGAUAAUUAAAGGGUAGGGCCCACCUGUCAGUGUCCGCAGGGGGGGUUGUUUAAUUAAAUUAAACUAACUAAUUAACAGGGGGCUGGCCCCACCUGUCAUCGACCCAGGGGGGUCAAACCUCGGUCAAAUGACCCAAACAGGCCGGCGGCUCAACGCCGGCGGCAACAGGCACGGCGGAGGGCUUCGGGAUCGCUCCUCCGGCGUCCAAAUGGACGGAGGAGAGCGGCUACGGGGAGCUGGAGCUCACCCGCACCCGUUUCAGCAAGCGGCAGCAGCUAGGGCGGCCGGGGACGAUGGCCCCGAGCUCGGCAGCGGCGGCCGGAGCUCGGGCGUGCUCGGGUUCGGCGUUACACGGCACGGCGAGGUCAGCUGAUGGGCUCUACGGGAUGCUGGGGUCACCAGGAACACCCGGAGACAACGAGCGCAGGCGGAGGAGCUCGGGAGCACGGAGCUCACCGGCCAUGGCGGACGGCAGCUUCGGGUGCUCGUGGGGCGGCGGCUACAGGGUGCACGCGAGGGAGAGAGAUGAGGGGAAACGAUGGCAAGCUCACAGGGGUUGCGACGGUGGCCUCGGGGAGCUCGGGGAGGCACCGGAGCCGACGAAUUUGACGAAGAUGGCCGGCGGGUCCGAGGUGGAAGACGACGGCGAUUGCGGUGAUGCAGGGGCUCCCGCGGUGUGCUUCUCGGCGAGGAGGAAGAGGGGGUCGGGGCGGAUCUCCUGGGUACUUCGGGUGGCAGUGGGGAGCACGGUGGCUACGGCGAACGGCGUCGGCGACGACGAGCUCCGCUCGAGCGCGUGCAGGGAGAGAGCAGAGGAGGGAACGGGGUCCAGGGGAAGAGAGGGGAGGUGCAGGGGCGAGGGGGAGUGCGUGGCGCCCUCGGGUGCCUCCAGCGGCGAGCGGGUAAGCAGGAGGUGGCCGGAGCGUGCGCGCGCGCGUCGGGCACACGCCCUCCUGCCUACUGGCAGGAGGUUGAAGACGGUGGCGACCGCGGUGGGCUGGGCCGCACAGUGCUGGACCAGCACAGGAGCUGGGCCGGCUCUGGUGGGCUGCACAGGUAAGCUUUGCUCCUUUUAUUUUUUUCUGUUCUGUUUCCCUUUUUAUUUUAUUUUGCCACUGUUUUCAAAUUCAAAAUAAUUUCAUACAGUGCCAAAACAUUCUGAAAUAUUUUAUGUUACCUCUCUGGACUAUUCCAAAAGUACAUAAAAUAUUUCAAAGCAUUUGAAAAUAUAUUCAUUAUAUAUUAUGAAUAUAUCCCCAAAUUCAAAUAGAUUAUUGAUUUAAAUUCAGAGACCAAAUAAUUCCUUAAAAAUAUUCCAGAAUUUUGGUUUGAUAUAUAACUCUUGCCAAAAUUCACAAAACUAUUUUUAGGGCAUUUUGGAUUCACAGAAUGCAAUUUAAGGGUUGCUUGCCCUUCUUUUAAUUAGGGUUUUGAGGCUUCUGAAUUCCUCAGUUCAAAUUUCAUUUGAAUUUAAACAUGAUGCAGCAACCAAGCUAGUACAAGGCCAAGGUAGAGCUAGGGAUGUGACAACUCACCCCCACUAAACAAGAAUCUCGUCUCGAGAUUCAAGCGUAGGGUAAGGUGAAGGAAAACGCAACUAGUAUAAUCUUCACGAUCCAGGGUGCACUUCAAUUGAACAUCGAUUCAUUCACCAUCUUUGCCUUGUCGUCUUGCUCUGAGAAAUCCUGCCACAUGACAUGGAGGGAAGAAGGAGACUCUAGAAGGGUCGAUCUUCUCGAAGAUCGAACAACUCACGGAAUGAGACAUAGCAACAUCUCUUGAGCUGGGAGACGAAGCACAGAUUUGAAGAAAUGGAGUAGAACAGAUGACGAAGGUUCACUAGGUGGACAACGAUUCCACGCUUAAGAAGGUGGUAAACGAUUGCCAACGUAGCGAAGAGUUGAAUUGCCAUGAUACCAUAACGAUACACCUUAGGGAAAGGUGACUCGAAGAUACAUCCCCUUAAGUGGCAAAAAGAAUUACUUUUGAUUCAGAGAUCAUUGAAACUCUUUAAACCAGCCUAAGACAAUUCUCGAGCGAUCGUUUGGAGGGGGUCGGUAGAAUGACAUACUCGGACUUGGAUGAUGUGGAUUACCUUGUUGAAGACAACGCAAUGGAUGAAUUUACUUAUCACCGGAAAUGGAAGAGAUCCAUGGUAGAAUGGCACAUUGGUGGUGCAAGCUGGGAACAAAAUGCAAAUGCUGGGAAUGAUUCUGGUAACUGGGGAAGAACCCAACAAUAGGGAGUGAAUUCACUGUUGGAGUGGUUAUAGCAUAACCGAAGAAUCUGGGGCAAUCCCAGCUAGAGCCGAUGAUAAGACGUAGCGCUUGUGCGUGCUCUCAAGAACUUGAGCAUUUCCAUAUUCAUCAAGGUUUUACCAACAUCCGUGUCAAGGGUCCGGUAACACAACUUGCUGCCAUGAUGAAUGAUGACGGAUGAUGCAGAUGCAAAGGAAGAUAACACCUUCUCAGAUUUCACCCUUGGAGGGGCCAAGGAGAUAGAAUCUGGAUGAUCGACCGAGAGACAUUUAGCACUCUGCUUCUAAUGUUCUCCUUGAUGCGCUAGUGUAUCCCAUUCAUUGAAAUGGUUUGGUAUCUAGAACAUCAAGUAAAGGUCGGACUUCGGGAACAAUAGAAUCCAUAAGGAACAGUUACGGAGGUAAAUCCUACGAAAUCCUUAUGGGGAGGUGGCCAAUUUCCUCAAACAAGAUAUUACAAUAAUAGGUCUUCCGGCUGGGUGUUUUGGCCACGACAUCCAUUUUACCGAUUAUCGAGGGACCAAUAUUAUAAUUCUUGGAAAAUGUUCCAAACCAUCAUAUCUGCCUGAGAUUCAGAUCUGGUUGGUGUCAGGAUAUUCCAGACUUAUCGAGUCUAGGAAGAAAAAUGAAAGUUUGCAACACAAGUCGACGAGAUGACGUUGCGAGAUUCUCGGGAGAUGAACUACGAUAGCAAGCUCCAAAACAUGAGCUGGUUCUGCUACAAACAUGUGAACACGCUGUCCAAGACAAGCAUGAUCACAAGGUAGUCUUAUAAUAAAACACUACCGAGUUCAGGUGGGGGAACCAUCAUUAAUGACAUCGAAGUCUCCACGCGUGGAAGUCCAAAGAGUUCACCUUGGACAGACUCCUUUAUCUUUGAACAACUCAAUCAGUGGCUUGGUGUGCUAGGAUAUACAUAUAGAAUGAAGGUUGCAAGUCUUCAAACCACAGAAUUCUUCGCACGUGUGCAUGACUGAUUUGGAAUGAUUCCAAGAAAACAACAUUGACUUUCUCGAAUCCACGGUGGCAACUUGCAUCAGAUGCACAUGAAUUAACGGAAGUCACUACCUUCAUCCAAACAUAUGCUUCAUGAGCUAGCAUGAACAAAUGCUUUCAAAAAUUUCCAACACUAACUUAAUGUUCAACAAAAUUAUGGAGAAGACAAGGAUGUUGUCAAUGGGCUCAACAACAAUUCAUCUGGGUUCCCUGUUAAAAGGAAUUCCAUAGUUAAGUGAACACGGUGAUAGCAUUGGUCAGACCAAAGAUGUAAUGGUGUAUGCUCGAGGAAUCAACCACGAAUAAGACAACAUUACAAGCAUCGUUAGUACUGAUUUGAUUUGACGAUAGCCCACACUCAAAUCAAAGGAUUGAUAAGACAAUAGGUCCAGCAACUGAUCACAAGGACCAAUCGAUGAAGAUAUCAUCUUUCUUCAACACACACUACACAAGAAUAUCCCUCUGGAACGAACUAAGUCAGACAAGCUUUUAUCUUCCAACUCUCCAAGUUGUUGUCUAGCUUAACCAACUAGCUCAGGGAUAUCCAUCACAGAUUCUUGGAGAAAGGGUGGUUCACAAGAACCCGACUUGAUCACGAGCUCAACAUAGCAGUCAGGUGACAACCUGGUAAUACUUCCGAGAAGAUAUUCGGAAAAUCACGAACCACCGGUAUGUUACUAAGCUUGAGAACAAUCUCGCUUUUGAGGGCAAGACGAUAUGAUCAAAUGAGUGAGGACUUUGGCAAGAUCCUAAUUCAUCAAUCGAAGGGUGCACCGAAAUAAGGACUAGGUAGCACGAUCAGUCUUAGAAGGAUGAUUCAAAAACCAACAUACUAAGAAUGAAAUUAUUAUCCUUUAACUACCAAGCAACGAGGUUGCUGGGAGUAUUGAUUUCACACAUCACAAUUCAUUUGUCGGUAUUCCGGUUGCAUCAACACGAGGGCCGAGGAAUGAACAGUGAUGGCAAGAAGUAUCACUGUACCAAGAGUUCAUGGGAUGGUGUGCAAUUCCUAUAACAAUCUCGAUAUAAAAUAUGUAAUACUCCAAGGUAGAACAGAACCAAAAGCUGGAUUAGCAAUUAGAUCUGUGGAGCACAACUUCUUUGACCCAAUCCUGGAUAUGGAAGAGGUACUGGAGUUUGUUUCUCCAAGUCAUUCAGGACAGAAUGGCUUGACGGACCACAAGAGUAAUAGGCAUCGAUAAACGAACGCACGCAUACUCUUGACUAUCAAUUGAUAGACGAGGGUCAGAAUGCAACUACGGAGAACAACUCAAAGGAACAUAUAAUUUUCUGAGUUGUGGAUGCAUAGAUUAGUAUGUCGAACCAAGUUCAACAUAUUUCUUCCGGAUAACCCAUGCAGAAAGGUAGAACUGGCAGAGUCACGAUUUAUGAAUGGAGAACUCCUCAAGAGUACUCUAAUUGUGAUCUUUUAAUCCAAUAAACAUCUGCCAUAAGCGGUUCAUAGUAUUUGGAAGAAGGAAAUACCACGGACCUUGAGGACUAUCGCAAAGUUACUAAUAUCCUGAAGGAACUAGCAAACACUAUCAACAUGAAGUAAGUAGAGUGAAUCUCGGGUUCAAAGCCCAAGGAAUAGAAUGCCUACUAACUAAGUGGCAUCACGGGAUGCUUUCGAGAAUAAAAGCCAGAAUCAUCACACUGGGGAUCACAAAACAUUGCUAGAUUACUAGGUGACUCCCUAAACACCUAGGGCCAUAAUAGUAUCUCCAACAUAUAUGUCAAGGUAACGGAGUACCUCAACUCACUGAUUAGUGUGGUUAAUCUGGCCCAUGGGAACAUUGAAACAGGAAGAAAGGAUUUGCAUUUGCAUCAGACUACUUAGAAACCUGGGAUGACUCGGACAGCAUAACGGCUGUAAAUGCUCAGAAAAGAUUUGAGACAUUCACAGAAAUGGUGGCAUAACCACUUAGAAGCACAAUAUCAAGGUUCCGAGAUCAGCAAUUAUCAUACGGAAGUAGUAGGAACUAAACUGAGACUUAAAUCCAACAAUCUUAUAAGUCUAUGGAUUAGUAACACGUGAUCCUGAUAGAAAGAAGAGAUAGCCUAGUUCUUAAUCCCCGCAGGAAAGAAAAGAUGACUCAGAUCAGAAGGCAUAAGGUAUAAGGAGUAAAAGAGCCUUACGUUCCAUCCCACAAUCAAUUCCCUUAUAUAACUAAAGAAUUUCUAGACUCAACUUCGACCAGUUUGGCUUGGUAAUCCUACAGGCAGUCAAGCUCUGAUACCAACGCUGUCAGGACCCCGGCUCAAUGCCACAUCGAUCUAGCAUGUAACACCUCAUAUCACUUUGCGGCCUCACGCACGGUAUUCCCACGGGUGUCGCCUUACCUUUGCCCGGGACCGUUUGCGCCUUUUGGCACACGUAUAUGACAGUGUCGCUAGCAUCCAUAUGAUAAGGAGCCCGGGCUGACAUGGCUAGUCGUAAACCCAAAGCGGCACAGACUUACAGGGACAGGCAUCCAUGACCCAGCAUCGAACGUGUCGGUCAUCAGCGAGUGAAUCCAGGCUGUAGCACUGGGCUAGCAGGACUCCGGUGAACCGGGCUGUAGCGGGCUAACAGGACUCCGGUAUUCACCGCGUGACAUUUCCCCGAAGGGACAGACACAGGAACGAAGAAGGACACAUGCCGGCCAGCCUAAGUGUUUCGGAGCAGUAGCAAGCUACCAUGGCUCGGUGGAAACACUAGGAGACAUUUCCCCGUAAGAGAGGCUACUAAAGAUAAACAACUAGAUGGUCAGAUCCCACACAUACCAAGCAUUUCAAUAACAUACACACAAUAUGCUCGAUAUGUGCAAAUACAACAUGGCAUCACAACAUGACUCUACGACUCAAGUAAUUUAUUCAAUAGGCUCCAAGGAGCGAGAUAUUACAAACAUGGGUCUCAUGACCCAACAAUCAGAGCAUACAAAUCAAAGCACAAGCGGAAGCUAUCAUGUCUGGGUACAGACAUCUAUAACUGAAAAAGGCUGAGAAGCCUGACUAUCUACCAGAUCCUGCCGGGGCACAAGAUCGUAGCUGAGGUAACAAGCUAAACGUCGAAGUCCACGCGAAACUACUAGUGAGACCGAAGUCUCUCUGCAAAAACAUAAAAUAGGCAAACGUGAGUACAAAUGUACCCAGCAAGACUUACAUCAGAACUAACUACAUAUGCAUCAUUAUCAACAAAGGGGAUGGUGGGGUUUAACUGCAGCAAGCCAGCUUUGACUCGGUGGCUAUCCUAAACUACGACUGCAAGCGACUCUUUUGAGGUGGCGCACACGAGUCCACAUAUUCACCAUAUCAAUACACCACUAUGGAUCCGCUCCCGUCUCCCUACGAGAACGCCAUCCAUAGCACUCACGCUUAUCUUGCGUAUUUUAGGGUAUCCACUUUCACUUGUCUAUGAACUGAUAUAAGCAACCCAGAAGUCCUUUUCCGCGGACACGGCUAUUCGAAUAGAUGAUGAUAACCCUGCAGGGGUGUACUUCUUCAUACAUGUUUCCACCACUUAGCGUCUGCACACGACAUGUGCUCGGCAGACUUCAAGCGAAAGCCGACGUGGGUGUAGACCACGACCUACCUAAACACUCAAGUCUCUAGUCCAGGUUUAUCGCCUAUUCGGAUUCCAUCCAUGAGGAGAUCCGGCCGGAGUUUCGCUCACAGCCCCAAACGAUGUGAACAGGGUUCUGUGACACCAGACGGGCGCCCGGUUUACCCGGCCACGUGCCUACCGCAUCACAGCCCACCCCUACGGUCAGCGCUGUCCACGGCCUCCAGCAUACUACAAACACCAGAAACUACUUGCAACUCCUGGACAGAGGACAAGGGUGAAUAAGAAGUCGAGCGGGGUCAUAUUUCAGGGCCCAAUGUAUGGUAGUAGCUGAAUCAUGGAUCACAAACACAGAACUCAGUUCCUGAGGACGGCUACAAUGAGACAACCCACCAUGUACUCCUACAUGGCCUCUCACCGCUACCUUUACCAAAUCGUGUUCACACACUUAGCUCACACAUAGUAGGACAUGUUCACACGCCUCUGAUUCAUCCCCGAUGAAUCAGACCUGACUCAACUCUAAGCAGUAGCAGGCAUGACAAACAAACAUGAAUGAGUAGGCACAACAGGGCUCAAACAACUCCUACUCAUGCUAGUGGGUUUCAUCUAUUUACUGUGGCAAUGACAGGUCAUGCAGAGGAUGAAGGGGUUCAGCUACCGCAGCAAGUAACAGAUGAAUCGGUGUUGUCCUAAUGCAUUAAAAGAGAGCAGGAGCGAGAGAGUAGGAUUGUAUCGGAAUGAACAAGGGGGUUUUGCUUGCCUGGCACUUCUGAAGAUAACAUUGAGUCUUCAUCAGUGUCAACGAUCACAUCAUCGGUAUCACGUCUAUCGAGAGGGGACAAAUACCGGCAACACAGAAAGGAACACAAUCAAUGCAAUGCACAAUAUGAUGCAUGAUCAUGACAUGGCAAAAUGAAUGUGUUUUGGGCUAAUGCAACUAGCAACAGAUUAAAUGAAGUUGGUUUGAAUACAAGAUUCAAAUUCAAACUCCAUAUGUGAUUAUUUAAAUGCCCUUUAAUUGAUUUGCCCUAAACAGUAGUGAUAAGUUGUUCUAACAUGCAUGAAAAUGGUACAGAUGGAUUCCUUGAAUUUUUCUGAUAAUUUUUCAUAUAUAAAAUAUUUAAUUUGGAGUUACGGUUAAUUUUCUAUGAUUUUUAGAAGUUUUAGACAUUUUCUGGAAUUUUCUGAUUAUUUAGAAUUAAAACAAUUCCAGAAAAUUAAUUAUGACAUCAGCACUGCGUCAUGCUUGCGUCAGCAAGUCAACAGGGCUGCCCCGGGUCAAACCUGACCUAUGGGACCCACAUGUCAGCUGCAUAGUGAUUUAACAGAGUUUAAAUAACUUAACUAAAUGGUUAGCCGGGUUAAUUAAAGGGUAGGGCCCACCUGUCAGUGUCCGCAGGGGGGGUUGUUUAAUUAAAUUAAACUAACUAAUUAACAGGGGCUGGCCCCACCUGUCAUCGACCCAGGGGGGUCAAACCUCGGUCAAAUGACCCAAACAGGCCGGCGGCUCAACGCCGGCGGCAACAGGCACGGCGGAGGGCUUCGGGAUCGCUCCUCCGGCGUCCAAAUGGACGGAGGAGAGCGGCUACGGGGAGCUGGAGCUCACCCGCACCCGUUUCAGCAAGCAGCAGCAGCUAGGGCGGCCGGGGACGAUGGCCCCGAGCUCGGCAGCGGCGGCCGGAGCUCGGGCGUGCUCGGGUUCGGCGUUACACGGCACGGCGAGGUCAGCUGAUGGGCUCUACGGGAUGCUGGGGUCACCAGGAACACCCGGAGACAACGAGCGCAGGCGGAGGAGCUCGGGAGCACGGAGCUCACCGGCCAUGGCGGACGGCAGCUUCGGGUGCUCGUGGGGCGGCGGCUACAGGGUGCACGCGAGGGAGAGAGAUGAGGGGAAACGACAGCAAGCUCACAGGGGUUGCGACGGUGGCCUCGGGGAGCUCGGGGAGGCACCGGAGCCGACGAAUUUGACGAAGAUGGCCGGCGGGUCCGAGGUGGAAGACGACGGCGAUGGCGGUGAUGCAGGGGCUCCCGCGGUGUGCUUCUCGGCGAGGAGGAAGAGGGGGUCGGGGCGGAUCUCCUGGGUACUUCGGGUGGCAGUGGGGAGCACGGUGGCUACGGCGAACGGCGUCGGUGACGACGAGCUCCGCUCGGGCGCGUGCAGGGAGAGAGCAGAGGAGGGAACGGGGUCCAGGGGAAGAGAGGGGAGGUGCAGGGGCGAGGGGGAGUGCGUGGCGCCCUCGGGUGCCUCCAGCGGCGAGCGGGUAAGCAGGAGGUGGCCGGAGCGUGCGCGCGCGCGUCGGGCACACGCCCUCCUGCCUACUGGCAGGAGGUUGAAGACGGUGGCGACCGCGGUGGGCUGGGCCGCACAGUGCUGGACCAGCACAGGAGCUGGGCUGGCUCUGGUGGGCUGCACAGGUAAGCUUUGCUCCUUUUAUUUUUUUCUGUUCUGUUUCCCUUUUUAUUUUAUUUUGCCACUGUUUUCAAAUUCAAAAUAAUUUCAUACAGUGCCAAAACAUUCUGAAAUAUUUUAUGUUACCUCUCUGGACUAUUCCAAAAGUACAUAAAAUAUUUCAAAGCAUUUGAAAAUAUAUUCAUUAUAUAUUAUGAAUAUAUCCCCAAAUUCAAAUAGAUUAUUGAUUUAAAUUCAGAGACCAAAUAAUUCCUUAAAAAUAUUCCAGAAUUUUGGUUUGAUAUAUAACUCUUGCCAAAAUUCACAAAACUAUUUUUAGGGCAUUUUGGAUUCACAGAAUGCAAUUUAAGGGUUGCUUGCCCUUCUUUUAAUUAGGGUUUUGAGGCUUCUGAAUUCCUCAGUUCAAAUUUCAUUUGAAUUUAAACAUGAUGCAGCAACCAAGCUAGUACAAGGCCAAGGUAGAGCUAGGGAUGUGACACAUGGGGCCAAUUGCAUGUCCCUCAGUAGGCAUGCAACUGCAUAUCUUUUAACUUGGUUGCAAUUGGGGGACCUUUGUUUUGUCGGAGGGGGCAACAAUGAUAGAGAGGUGACCAGCUGCAUGUCCAACUAUACUCAUGCAACCACGUGUCUUUCUAGCAUGGUCAUACUUAGUGUCUUCUAACUUAGUUUCAACUAGGGGCCUUUGUUUUGUCGGAGGGGUGGCGGUAAGAGAGAGGGGGCAACUAUUCAUGCAACUAGAUGAUGCCCCGCACGUUGUUGUGGGAAUGUUUGCAAUAUUUCAACGAGAUUUUGAUUAUAUGGAACAUGAAUUCUUGAAACAAUAGUUUUUGAAAGUAUAUAAGAAUUAAAUGUAAAUAGCAUAAUAAAAUGAAAUUACAUGCAUGCAUGUUGUAGUGGGUUUUUAAUAUGAAUAGUUGCAUGUUGAGGUGGGCCUUUCCUUAUGCAUGUUGAAUGAUGAGGUGGCAUGCUUGCAUGUUGAGAGAAAUAUGUUAGUGGGGGCUAGCUAUUUAGAUAUAAAAGAUAAAAGAUUUGCAAGGGCGGUCCCCCGGACUAUAACUAUGUCUCUUUACAUACAUUUUCGCAACUAGAUUUUUUUUGCUUGGUCGGAAGGUGGCAGCUCCCCCGCGAAUCCUCUACCCUCGCUAUGUGUCACACGAGCACCAUAACACCGCCGUUUUUUGCCAUGCCUGCAAACACAAAUCAAGCACCCGAUCUCACAACUAGUUUGUGUGUUUUUAUCUUUUUUUUAAUCAUAUACAUUUUUGCAUUUUUUGUUUUUCCCAAGGAUUUAAUAAAAAAAUCAAAUUUGUUUUUUGCAUUUGAUUCUGACAGCGCAGCUCAUUUUCAAAAAAGGGGAGCAUAUUAAAGGAGAGAAGAGUUACUUGUCCAGAUUCUCGGGCACAGCAGCUGCGCCGGUGGUGCUGCCCGACGAAAAGGGGGCAGGGGAAGCGCGGCCGUCUUCUCCAUCGUCCUCCGGCGCCGCCCCGGUCAGCGAGAUGGGGAACUUGGUAGGACUACAUCUGAAUUUUCUGUGCUUUAUGAGAGCAUUAGUCUAAUUCUGUUCACUGUCAGUAGACAUUUUGUGGUUGUGAAUUUACAAGUAUCCAAGUUCACUGUCAGUAGACAUGUCUGAAUUACUUAAGCAACAUGCUUGUAAGUGUUCAAUACUCCUGUAGUACUACCGUGUAAGUGAUCUGCACCUGUUAGUUUUUUACCACUAUAGUUGAUGGAUGUAGCUACCUUAUGUGUCUCUCAAGGUAGGAGAUUUGUUGCUGAUAAUCUUGACUAAUUAAGGCAUCUCUUAAUCUUUUCGACAUCAAUUUUUCCACAUUUAUUCAAAAGUUAUUCUGCUUUUAGCUUUCUCUCUCCAACUCAUGGAAUGUUGGAUUUGUAGUGCCUGUUUUGGUUUUGUUUGUCUGAACUACCAAAACAGACACUUGAUGUUUUACAUUUCCAUAAGAAAAUCUAGGAGUGUUUCCUUUUACUAGUUACAAUUAGCAAUAUGUGAACGGAUUAACCAUCCUCACUUACUCUCUACCACAGUUUUAUGACAAGCUUUUAUUAUCUCAGAUUUGUUUGUUUGCCCACUAGGGGAUAUAUGGUGCGAAUCUAGAUUCUGGGAUGGAGUUUGCAAAUGGAGAUGACGAUUUUUGGGUAUAUUUUUCUAAUGCUUUUUUGAGUGUGAAUCACGAAUCUGAGGGAGUGAAUUAGUGUUUUGUUAGGCUUGACCUCAUACUUUUCUGAGUGCGAAAUGAAGAGAACAAAUUCCAUGGCUGACGUUGAAAUAGAGGUAGGUAGCUGAGAUUUUUUUCAAAGGUAACUAUUGAAUUCUUAUGUGAUGUACUUGUACUUGGUUUUUACUGAUGUCCCUUCAAUUGCUUGCUUGCACUGAGCAUUGCCAAUUGUUGUUUGAAUUUUCUAAGGCAUUCAACAUACUGAGAUUAUUAUUAUUUAUUCACUGAGGCACUCGCAUUUGGAAUGACCCUGCAUUUUUUUACUUUUCUUGCAUGUUACAAUUUGAUGCAUGUGCAACAGAGUACCAGAUUAUAUUCAUCAAGGUAGAUAACUUAAAGAGUUUAUUCUUGUUGUUCAUGAAAGCACAUACAUGUUGUGCAAAUGCACUUGAAGAUGGUUGGGAUGCCAGAUUCAUCACAAUUUGUUGAUGCUGCACAUGUUGGACACCAAGGUAUGGCUGCUGCACAUGGAGAGUGAUGUUCUAAGUUCCUUUUUUUUGUACACCCUUGUGAAACAACCUUUUUUCCAAAAAUAUCAAUCUUACAUGAACCGGUGUCAGCAGAUUAACUGGGACUGGUCCGCAGCUGUUUGGAGUUCUUUUGCCAUAGUUCCAUCCAGCACCUACAAAAUGAAGAGAAAACAUUGUUGCUGAGGUAUAUUUGACCAUCCACAAGAAAGGUUCAUUUUUUCUAUGCCUCUGUUUCUUUUUUCUUAGUUCACACUAUACAUUCUUGAUCUUCUGUAGUCACCGAACUAGAUGUUAACCAUGCUACUUUUUUCUCAUAUUUUUCUGUACACUAGGCAGGGUCAUGUAUAUGCUUGUAAUACAACCCCACUGUGGCAAAUCUUGAAAAAAGUUCAGUCUUUCUCCUUAGUGUCUUGUGCAGGGGAGAGGGCAGCACCCUACUGAUUUCUGUUUUAAUUACCAAGCCAUAUUCUGUCCUAAAACAUGAACCAAUCAAUCCAUAUACAACUUUUGUGGGGAGGAGUCCAACAUCAUUUUUUCAUGGACAUACAGUUAAAAAUAAAAUUAUUUUCUGCUGUCAGAAUUGCUACAACACACAUGCCAGUCAAAUACUACUUGAUUCAGUUUUGCCUCUUCUCUAAUUUUCCUACAAAUUAUAACUCUAACCUAUGUCCCAUCAGGAAUCUUCCUUACUGCUGCAGGAUUGCUGUUACAAACAUGAGAAGGGAGAAAAGAAAAUCAGAUCUAGAACAAAUCAGAGAAGAUAAGGUGGGGGGAAAGGUGGGAGGGGGUGAAAAUCAGAGAAGAGAUCAGACGCCCUUACACUAGUGAGUUUCUCCAUGCUUGUGGGCAUGGGGUUUUGCCUGGGUUCAGUCAAAAAAUACAGUUCAUAAAGCAGAGCAGGAAAUAAGUUUUUUUGUCUUUUUUCUAUGUCGUCCGGGCCCACAAGCAAACAAUGUCAUGACCCAGCCCAACAAACAAACAAACAAGAAAAGAGAAACCAGCCCAGGUGUUAAGCCGGUUCAACCCAGCAGAUGAAAAGCUACUUAACAUGCCUAAUCUACAUAUGAUGACGUCAGCCGACUGAGUCUCAGUCUCAGUCUGACUGAGACCUAGACAGUCCCUAGAUUUUAUUAGGAGCCAAAUUAAGGGCGGGCCUAUGUAUGUAGGAGUAUGUAGGAGUACUUAUUAUGCACGUCAACACGCGCACACCCAACCUAACUCGGUGCUGGACUUAGGCCGGCUCGGAUACAAGAUCCGACACUCGACCGAGACGCGCGCACGUACGCACGCACACAAACAAUAUACUCAAAAUUUGCACACAAAUUACACAAAACUUGCAUUAUUUUGUACCCUGAAAGAAUAACUGUAAACUAGUGCAACUUCUAGAAAAAUGAAUUCCAUACUAGACAAAAAAUUAUAAUUUUACACCAUUGAGGUCAAACUGCUGCUGCACGCACAAAUAUAAAGAAAAGCAACAGCCAGACAAUGUCAUUUUUUUUACCAGUAAAAAAAAGACAUACAAAAACAAAAAAAACAGGUUAUUAUGCGUACUAGCAUAUACAUCUGGACAGCGCGGGGACUUGUUGUGCGUCAAGACAUACUUUUUCAGCAAACUGAAGACAAACUAGGGGGGCUUUGCGAGCGUCCAGACCGCCGCCACGUCGAUGUCUGACCACCUUGGCCCACCAAAAAAAGACCACCUUCCUCUCCCUUGCUUUCCAUCGAACGCCCACACCGCUUGCCAUGCCAGAGCAUGCAGCGACCGGCAUUGAUGCCGUGAUUUGACAGGAUGGAAGGGCGGCGCUCACGGGCGUCGCCGCUUUAAUGAAUAGUAUCACCACCUUCUGAGCUAGUAAUGAUCUUCCUUCUGUUCCGACAUCAAAAAGUGGGAUAUGAUGUCGGUAAUGAUCUUUAUCUCAUCUUCUCAAGUGGAAUUUCUGAGCCUCCUUGCCACUUUUCUGGUUCUGUAUACACGGUUUACAUAAUGGAGGAAGCUCCAAGACAAAGCAGCCAGGUGCAGGGAGUCCUCCUAGGACUGAAUUAAGGGGGAUAAGCAACAGGAAGACCAACCAAAUCUACAAGAUACCAGCAAGUAUCUAACUGAAAAUUUAGUACCCGUAAAACCACAGAGACCCACCUCCGGAAGGAUGCAGAUAGUACUGCUACAUGACAGACGAUUGACAAUUUCAUACCGCAAACAGAAUGCAGUUAGGUAAAUGCUCCAGGAUGCCUAAAACUUUCACUGAGUGACUUGUCUAAUUAAUUCCUCUGCAAAUAAAAUUGGUGACAUUAGUAUCAAGACCAGUUGCCAGUUAAAUUAUGAGUAACCUAGAUAACGGAAACUACCUUUUUCUCUUCUCCAUGGAGACUUCAGUGAGAGCAGAAAGGAUUCUUGAUAUCUCCACAGUGUUGUCUGCGGUCUUUUCCAUUAUUUUUCUUGCAGUAUCUAGCAUUUUCCCAGCAAGAUCCACAUCAGAAACAUCUCCAGCGCCUGCCAUCUCAUUGUCACCCUUCCUAUCCUCCUGAUCUUCGCCAUUUGAGUUUUCCCCUGCUCAAUGAGUAUAUCAGUAUAAAGUUAAACCAUGGCAGGAAGAAAAGCACAUUGAUAGAAGAUCAAUUAUACUAGUGGUGGACUGUUUGUGAAACAAAAAACAGCAAUAGAAAACAAUGAGAUGCAUUCAUAUGCUUAAAUCAUCCAACUUAAUAACCAGUAUAACAUACCAUUGACCAAUACAGUGGUCCGUCUAAAUAAGUAUUCUGAUAGAAAUGUGAGACAAGAAAUACUCACAUUACAUUACUGCAUACUCAUGUACCAUAUAUAAUUGCAAAAAGGUGAAACUUCUAUGUUGUAUAAGUUAGCACACGCAAGUACACUGGUUAGACAGCUAAAUACAAGAACAAUGAAUGAAGCCAGUGAUUCAAGUAUCCAUAUCUGUUUAAUCUGGCAUUUCCAUUUGGCCAUUCAGGCACAAAAAUAAAAUAAAAAUAGCUGCCACAUGGCACCAUACACAAGUCCAAAAUAUGGACAGCCCAUAAACAAGCUCUUUUAGCAUUAAAAGUAUUUUCUGCUUUCUGUGAGAUCAUCAACUAUUUAUAGCAUAACCUUGACUUGCACCAUAUGUAACAACAAUGAGCAGAACAAUUUGACAAAAUGGCCUCCUACCAAACGAUGACAAUUCAAGAGAUAAGCCCAAACGGUAAACAGGUCCAGGUUCCAUACGAGACCAUUUAGUUUGCAAACACAUGGGUACAUUAUUGAUUAGCAAUUUAUUAUGUAAAAUAUUUAGCAGGAAAGAAAAGCUUGUGAUCAGGAGAUUGUAAUUAACUAUACAGAUACAAAGAGUAAUAUAUCUUAUAUGUGACUGUCUAGGGGUAAAGGCAUAAAGAUAUACAUUCUUCACUGUGAGCUUUGCUGAUUGUACCCUUCUUGGGAAGGUUUCCCAGAGGAUUAGUUGCCUUCUGAGCUUUCCAUAGCAAGGCACAUCCAUAUUUGUAAUACACACUAGCACAUUCCGGAGCAAGUUCACCAUAAUGUGCAACCCUAGGUGACAACAAAGGAGUAGAUUUGUUAUUGUUGAGGUUAUAAGAUACUUCCAUAGAACGGAAUGUAAUCUGAGAUAGAGUGGGAUAAUCAUAACUAAACACCCCGAUUGCUCCACUGGUCAUUCAGAUGACAGAAUGUACUAACUAGUACUCCCUCCGUUCACAAAUAUAAGAUGUUUUAGAUAUUUCAACAUGGACUACAUACGAACUGAAAUGAGUGAAAAUAAAACACUAAAAUGUGUUUAUCUACAUUCGAUUCAGAAAAAAGUUAGAACAUCUUAUAUUUAUGAACGGAGGGAGUAAUUAUUUUCACUGUUUAUUGCCUUUUAUAGCGUUGAUAAGUGCUUGCACAGAUUAUGGAGUAAAAUUUGUAAGAAAGCAUAUAGAUAAACCUCACUGCUAUGAAACAUUUGCAACUAGUCAGUACUCCAGAGACAUAGACAGAUUUACCGAAUAGGAUAACUCUUAUCUAAGCAAUUGCAUUUUGAAUUGAUGCUCUUUCGCAGUUCAGAAAUCAUAAAAAAUGAUAGCCAGCUCCAAAUUUCCAAAUAUUGCUAUCAAAUUAAAACUAGGCACUCACUACUCCCUAACACUCCAACAAACUCCAUCAAGGUAGCUGUUGACACAGUAAGCCUAAACGACCGCUUGGGAACAACCUUUCCACGUGUAUAACAUCUGAAACCUAUCAAGAUCAUCUCUCAAACUACAAAACAUAAGGACACACGUAAACAAUAACAAAUCCAUAACAGGAGUGAACUAACUGGAUGCUUUUCCCUACAAUCCUUCUCAUGCCUUCGGCGUGAUUGGGAGCAGAAUCCUAACCUGAUCGCCAGGACGCGGCUGAGGCAAUCAACAGCGGCAACAAAGUCCCCCUCCUUGAUGGCCAUGGACCCACUGUAAAACAGCGACUCUGCCUGCCUUAGUGCUUCCCACUCCCACUCCUCAUCAUCUGACUCACCAUUGAAGUCCGGAGAGCCCAGGCUGUCGUGCUCAACUUGAGGUACCCGGAGUAUAGAGUAGGAGCUGACAACUGGAACCAAAGGGUAGGCCCUGCAUCGGUCCUUGCACAUCUUCCUCCCCCGCUUGGACUGGAGCUCGAUUGAAAAGAAGCCAUCAACCGUGCUCACCAAAAUGGUAUUUGCUCCCUCGACAAAGCCCAUCAGAAACACUGUUAUUCUUGAGGACGACGACCUAGCAGCAAAUGGAAGCGAAUCGCCGAGGUACAUGAACGGGCACUCCACCCAUUCUGCAUCACCUCCUUCACUGACCUUCCUUGACCAGAGGUACAGAUGAUUCCACCCACCGUCAUCAGCUUUAGCAAUUCCCAGCCCACCAUCCUCCGCCUGAACCAGCAUAACUCUCUGCGAGAAUGCAGCAUCAUUGUCCGGUUCCGGUGGGUUGAUCACAUUGAGGACAUGCUCAGCCAAGUUGUACUCGAGGAUGUGCCCAUCAAGGUACAGGAAGUACAGCAGAGAAUUCCCCACGAGCAGGCCAGGAUUCUCACAGAGCAAGGAAAAGCCAUCGCGCCAGGGCAAGGCCAAGGCCACCUCACCCCAGGCGCCGGUCUCCGACGAGUAUACGGCCGCCGACGUGAGCCACUCCGUUUCCUCCUCGAAGGGGCUGGUGAACACCAAGACAACGCGGAAGGGCCCCCCGUGGCAGUUGAGAUGGUCGCACCCCUCCGCCGUACAGAGCACGGUGGCGUUGGAGUGCCCGAUCUUGAGUUCCGCGGGUACCGGCACGUUCCACCGGUUGCCCGUGAACGGCUCCCAGACGAGGAGCUCCCGGUCGGUAGUAUCGGAGACGAAUACGGCGCGGCCGUGCCGGUAGCCGAGGACGUGCCAGGCGCGGGGGUCGGGGACGGGGAAGGAGAAGGGGGAGGUGGGCACGUAUACGGGGAGAUUCUCAUCACCUUCCGAGUGCUGGAGGAACCCUAGCAUCUUGGGUGCCCGGCGGUGCGCGUGGAGGUGGCGGAGGAAGCUGGGGGCGGAGAUGAUGUCGCGCCAGUGCUUGCAGACGAGGCAGGCGCGGAGGAGGCAUGAGGGUUCGCUGGGAGGGAGGCGGGAGAAGAUUUCCUCGAGGAGGUGGUCUGGAAGCGCCGGCGGCGAGCGGCGGAGGCGUGGCAGCUCCAUGUUUCCAGACGAGCCGGGUGCCUGGGUUGGGAAGACGGAACAGGAGACCGAACUGGUGACUUGGUUCGGCUCAACCAGAAGCCAUUUCCUCUCUUCUUUUUUCUGAGAACGGUUAAGCCAUUUCCUAAUUCUACGAGAUUUUCUUGAGGGACUAAUUCUACGAGUAUUAUUGUAGAAGUACCCAUUUCCUUUCAUAAUUCUAGAACGGUCUAUGUCCAUAACUGUUGAGUCCAAUAUUUUUCUGUUUCGAGGAAUGCAUAUUUGAACAAUCUUAUUUAAAUUAUAAACCAGAUCAAGGAUGAAUAAUCGAUGGGUACAUCUUCGAGUACAACUGCAGAGGAAAAGCCUGCACACCAGGCCAGACGACACGGCCGCAGGGAAGUUCUUUGCUCCGUCUCUAGGGUGACAGAGCAAGGAACAGCUGAGUUCGUUCCUAGGGUGACCGUUUCGUAACUUGCGUUGGGCGAUCUGGGUCUCGCCUUGGCCCUUAUUGUCAUCCAUCGUCGCCGCAGUUUCCCACCUGCCGACGUCGAGUUCUCGGGCGCUUGCAUAGUCAUGUCGCCAAUAUCAGGAGAUGCUUGUUUCUUGUGCAAUUCCAUAGCCGAGUCAGGAAGCACUUGUUUGUGGAAUGCACGAAAGUCAAGCUCGUGUGAAGAGAGAUGAAGCUUGAGCAUAUUUGUACGAGACUUGCAAACUGUGAUAGCAAAGAGCAAAUGAUAGAUGUGAUAUGAUAGCAUAGAGCAAACGAUGAAUAAUAGUACAUAAAUUUAAUGUUUCAUAUGUAUGUGCUUUCUCUUAUUUUUCUUUUUGUCAGGUCAAAUGUAUUCAAGGUAGUUUUCCUAGUUUUUGUAGUUGAUUUUUGUUGGUAUUCGUUUUUAGAGUCGGUAAAGCAACUGACUCUUCACCCAACGCUGAGGGCACCAGCUCUCUAAAGAAACAUUGUAGACACCGGCCAACACCGUCUUUCCUAAGCAGACACAAAGAUACUAGCCAAAUAUGGUUUUUUUUCGAGCAAACUGUGAGAGGGUUUCCGUAAUACUAUCAAGAGAGUGAAAUAUGAAUAUUUUGCAAGAUAAAUACAAUGACACUAUGACACUAUUAUUACGAGCUAACCAUCGACUUCCAAAUAUUAGUAGGCAUAGCUUUCAAAAUGAUGAUGACAUGUAAACUUGUGUCUCUUGUAUUCUGGUAAGCAGAAGUAGCGGAAAGACAAACCAUUGCAUAUUAAAGCUACCUUGUAUAUGACAUCUACCCCUCGUGGUCCAUAUUUGUGAAGACAAUCUAGACCAUUGAGGCAAGAAGAAAGCUCACUUUGACGCGGCUCACGAAUCCAUAAGAAACUAUAUCGAGAGAGCUUCUCGUUGUGUUACAAGCUUGCUUUCACAUUAUUCAUGGAACACACUGUGUGGUCUUGCACAACAUGAUCAUAUAGAACGAAAGAGGUCUCUCUCAACUGAUGAACUUGGAUUUUGAGGCCUUUGAAGAACUUGUCACUCCUCAAAGCAAUAACAAUACAAUCCAUAGGUUCUUUUGAAGUGCAUUGGCAGCCCAUGUGCAACUAUACAAUCAAUACCUCAGCGAGCACCAAUGGCAGCCUUCUGGGGAAUAACUCUUUGAUCAUAAUUUGUUGUUUUUUAGACUACUUGUUUCAUUUGGUCUAUCUAUUGUGCUUGGUACGUAUUUUCUAAAAAAAUUAAAUAGAAGUAUUAAAUAGUAUUAAAUGUUUUCAUCGUUGACGGCAAACGUUUGAACUUUAAUGUCAAAAAAUAGUUUAAAAGGAGUUUAAGUUCGCAAAAGGAAAUGAGGAUCUACAACCAGUUAAUGAAGAAAAGUAGUUAAAUUUUAGGGAUCAAGUUAGAAUGCGAGCUUAUUCUUAAUGAGUGUAUCUAGACGUGUUUCAGUGUGUAGAUACACUCAUUUUAGCAACAGUUAAUAUCAGACGGAGGGAGUAGCAAAACAUUUUUAGGGAGUUAAGCCUCAAGGAAAAUUUUAAACUUCAAAACUCGCACCAGUCGUUCCAUAUACAGAGAGAUUAUAAGCGGGUGAGACCAUCGAAAUCCACUCCAUUCGUUUUCGUUUUGUUCUCCGAAUUAAUCCGAAGCAUUCUGUUCGCAUGAUAGCUCUGGCUUUGCAUCCUCAUGGUAAUCAUGUUAUGGAGAAGAGGCGGUCUAUGAGCACGUCGAACACACCGUCCCUGUCCAGCAUGUUGACCCUGACGCACCUGGCGUCUCCCCCGAACUGCUCCCCUCCCCGCGCCACGAUGCCGUGGCCGCGGAGGAACUCGGCGCAGUCCUCCACGCCAUCCUUCUCGCAGCGCAGCCACGCGAACGCUGCAUCCGAUUGCGAGCCGGGUGAGAAGAACUAAACAAACUGGAGUAAUGGCGGAAUUCGUGUUCAUGGAUUAAGAAUGUUCAGUAUAUGUUUAAUGUACAGUACCGGGGUAAGCUGCCACGGUUUGCCUGCUGAAGUUGCAGUGGCCGGCGGUCUCCUCCGGGAGGCUGAAGGCGCCGGUGGCCGCCACGGCGGCGCGCAGGGCCCGCCAGCGCUCCUCCAUGCGACGGCGCGCGAAGUCGAAGAGCCGGAGCCGCGUGUCGUCCUCCUCGUCGGGUCCGUAGGCGUCGGAGACGACGGCGAGGAUCUUGGCGCCGCGGAGCUGCGAGUCCUUGGACACGCCGAUGGUGCUCCGGUCCACGAAGUAGACCAUCUUCUUGGCCACGUCGCGGUCCUUGACGAGCGCCCACCCGAGCCUGGCGCCGGCGUGGCCAGUGACCUUGGACAUGGUGAAGAGCAUGAUGUCGUGGGCGGCGGCGCCGGUGAUGGGCGUGUACUGAGGUCAGUAGUAUACCAGGUCGUGGAUCGCCUUGCCGGACUCGGAGCUCAGGACGGCCUCGCGGAUGGCGCCGUCCGGGUUGUUGGGCGAGCAGACCAGCUCGAUGUGGCCGUCGCCGUCGAACGCGUUGGCGUCGCCGGCCCACCGGUAGAACCCCGAGAGCAGCAGGUCCGUCUGCGGCGGGUACGACUGGCACGCCACGACGUACGUCCAAGAUGACACCAUGUCAGGCAAUCACCCCACACCACACCACGAAUGUAAUUGAAUUUGCACUUGGAUCGUUUGAUCUUGAUUAAAUACCGAGUAGUAGGGCGCCGGCGAGACGACGCCGACGGGCCAUUGGGCGCCGGCGGGAGACAGGGCGUACAUGGCCGCCUGGAAGAGCUGGGUGGCGCCGGUGCCGACCACGAGGUGGUAGCCGUCGUCGACGGCGGCGUUGCCGACGAGGCGGUGGACGCGGCGGACCUCGCGCUCGAACUCCGGGUCGAGGAACCAGCAGAGGCUCUGGGCAUUGGAGAAGUAGCUCAUCCCCGACCACCCCGGGAUCGCCACCGCCGCCCGCUCCCCGACCUCCCUCCAGAACGCCUCGUACAUGGUCGGGUCGCCGCUGCACGCACGCAGAACCAAAACCGGCAGUGCGGCGAAGCACGUUGUCAGAUAGAGAACACCUUACCCAAUCGCGCACGAAAUACGUUACGGGAACACGCACAGCUCGAGGUUGAUGACGGCGUCCGGCGCGAUGGCCGGCUCAGGCGGCGGCGCCGACGUACCUCCGUCCAUUCCGGCCCUGGCAGCAGACACCUUGCUUCUCACGCCACGCGUCACCCUUAUCUUGGGCUGCGGGCGACCGUGGCCGGUGGUUUUAUGUCCGGCGGGGGCGGGGGCAGCGCAUGCGACAGCCGGCACGAGCAGGCAUGUCAUGCGUGCGAGCAGAGCACGCACACGCGCGGACGGCGGGAUGAGAAGAGGUGUUUUCUGUUGGCUGAUCCUCGGUGGGUGGCAGCAGACUUUGGAGCGAUGCCGCCAGCAGCUCACGCAGACAGACCAGCGGCCGGUAGCGAGGCGCCAAGCCAUGUGAGUGAGUGACUAGCACAGUGGCCUCGUUGCCUGCGAACUGCAACCGUAUAGGUGUGGUCCUGGUGAGCCGAGAGCUAAGCACUUCGGAUGAAAGUGCACGGCUCAUUGCCAGCGAUCUAACGAUUUGUCUCUGUCGCCAAAACUCCGUGACAAAUGUGAUCACACGUCGCCAGCCACACGAAGAGGUUAGAGAGGUCACCGUCGUAUAGAUGCGUGAAAGAUAAGGCAGCCAUGAGCUAGUUUCACAGGUCAUCAACAAUAGUACUUGACGACAAUAACACUUGCAGACACACUAGUCAAACUGACAAUGGAUAGCAAUCACUAGGGCACUAGUUAACAAAAGAGCUAACACUAACUGUACGGUAGCAGCAAACGAGAAACCUGACAAAUAAGAAAUCCCUCGUGAAUGCACGAAUUGGUUACAUAGGUGUUCGCUCAUCGAUCAUAUACACAUGCUGCUCCACGACUAGCAGCUGGGCUUUUAUCGCCCGAACCAGCCUCUCUGGGCAGGCUGCGCAUCACUGUCGUUCAUCAGCUUGUCGAGCACCACGUUCAGGUCCACAUUCUGACCGUUCUCUGUCAGCCUGCGCACAGUCGCCCUCACUUGCUCCUUUGAGAACCCCAUCGUUGAAACCUUGUCCACCACGUCGUCGACCGCCACCCUGUUGCCGGACGAGGCACUCGGAGCAGAGCUCACUGGCGCUGCUUGGGGCAGUAUUUGAGCUGUAGGGAGCUUGCCGUAGUUGCCACUUCCAGCCGAGGAGGGGCCAGUGGGGGCAAAGGGUGAAGGCGAGUUCAUUCCAGCAUUACCACGGUGAGACGGAGACCCGCUGUAUCCAUACUGCUCAGGAAAACCGCCUCCUCCCUGCUGCUUGUAUCCAGCGCUGUAGGGCGGUGGUGGACCAGAGUUAGGCCUGACUGCUGGAGGCUCGUACAUGCCAGGGUUUGGCCCAUAGAAAGGAGGAACAGGUCCACUGGGUGGUGGCAUGUAAGGGGACGGCGGGCGGACAUUCAGUGGGUAGCUCUGAGCAGGAGGCCCAUAAGGUGCUGCUUCUUCUGGCUGAUGGGGCAAGGGUGCGGCUGGAGUUUGGGGGUUAACACUUCCAGGCAGCGGAGGUUGAGAAUAUGGAGCAUACUGAGGCGGGUGCUGAUAAUGUUGUGGUGCUGCUGGAGGUGCUUGUGGCUGCGAAGCUGGUGGUGCUUGAUAUUGCUGGUGUGCAGCCUCUGUUGUCUGUGUGGAUGGGGGAUAGUAGGAUUCCUGCGAUAUGGUCGGCACAGAUGGAGCAGGUGCGACUGAUUGCAUUUGAGGAUGCGGUAAAUGACCUUGGAAUUGCGGCGGAGGUUGGUUGUUAACCAUUGGUGGAGGGGGCGCAUUUGGAGCAGGAAGGGCAGGCAGUACCGUUGGUUGGGAAGGAGGAUAGGCCUGAUGUUGUGGUUGAACAGUUGGCUGGGGCGCAGGCGGCUGCUGCCUUGAGUCCACCUGCCCAGCACUGGCAUUUUCUGACUUAACAUCCUCUGCUUUAGACACUUGAAGCUUCGUAAGUUGAACCUGGGCCUCAACAAUUUCCUGCUUGUCACGCAAAAUCUGCACACCUGCUUGAACCUGCGAGUAGUGCAUACAUAAUUAAUCUAGCUGCUGAAGAAACACUGGCGAUAGUACAAAAUAAAUUAAUACAAACAUGUGUCCAGGUAGCAAAUUAGUACGAUAAGCACCAAAAGAAAUCUUCCUACAAUGUCUCAGAAAAUCACAUCACAAUAUGAAGGUACGAAACAUUCUUCAUGAUUAACUACCAACACACUAGGUGAAGGCAUGUAAAAACACUAGAUGAAGAAGGCAGAAGAAAGACAUGAAGCGCACUAGCAUGCACAAGAUGCAACAGGGGCCACAAACAUAUUAAUAAUUCCACUUGUCACCAUGCCAUUGUGCCCUUGAAUGGAGCUGAAGGAAACUCAAAAGUGAAAACUAAUGAUGAAACUUAUGUAUUAUAGGCAAUUAUGAAAUAUAGUCCUUAAAUAGACAAAUAAACUGCAAACUAUCAACAAGAUGUGAGCUAGCUGGACAAAUGACCAGUAAUAAUAAAAUCCACUAUGACAUGAUGGGAGUAUAUAAUCAAUAGAUUUCAGAGCUGUACAUUCCUAUUUGUAUACAAAAUACAAAAUCAGCCAACAAGCUUCAGUCAAAAAAUAGGAUCAAAUAUUAAAUAAGACAAACAUCAUACAUUGAUGAGCUAAAGAAAAAACAAAGACUAUUGUUACUCAAUAAUAAACCAAGUUCUUUUCCAUCUUGAUUAUCCCAACCAGUAAGCAAGUUAUUGCGAUAAGGUAAGCAUGAUCCUUUCUCUACCAAUAAAAGAAAGAACAAGGAGAGGAGGGAAUCAAGGGAAGAUAUUCACUUGCAGAGAGGAGUUGGAAUAAAGCUUACCUCCCGCAGUGUGUUCUCAAAUUGCCUCAGUUUUCCAUCAGUGCUGCCGUUGUAGUUACCAACUGUUAACUUCAACUCGCCAACAGAGUCCUCAAGAUGGUGUGUUCUGCCCUCCAGCUGUGCAAGUCUGGAGCUUACACCUUCCAUUGCAUGUAGCAAGUUAUCAGCAUAUUUCUUCAUGGUGCGAUCAAUAUCUGCUAUAGUGACUGCAUUGAAGUUGCUCCUUUCUUCUUCAUGACUAACUUUCUUCAGCACACGAGGCUCCAUCAUAGCAGCACUCUUUGCAUGGUAAAAGAAAUUAAGCAUAUUAAUUACAUAUAUAUCACAAGGAAAGAGAAAAAAGUGAGGUGAUAUGAAGUGAUAACAAUCAUGCAUCACAACAACUAAAGAAUUUAAAAAACCUCUUGGAUUGGUUAUUAAUAUCACAUACAGCUACAGAAGUAUACGGUGAAUGGGUACAUAAGAUCCCUGUGUGCCUGUGUUAAUUCUUAUACUCAAUCAGUUGCCAAUUAUAUUGCACACCCUACCACUGUGCGCAUAAGAAAAAUGUUGAAAAACAUAGUAAUAACUUUGCAUGCACAAAUAUAACAUGGAACAUGCUGGAGCUGGACUGCCCACUAAGAUUGGUGGAAUAAUUAAGGACAUGGCCAAAUGGUCCAUCCCUGCAGUUCUGGAGAUAACUGUUUGCUGCUGCCUAACUAUCUCUCUAACCCAUGAUUAAAACUAUCACACACAUGCACACUUCUGUCAUAGUUACCAUAAAUGCAGCUCAUGGAAUUGCGCCAAAGGACAUGGAUUCAUGAUGUGCCACUACCAUUUUUCUUCCAAAGUGCACGGGGAACAUCUUAAGCACGCACGCAAAUGCAAAGUUGCGUAACUUGAUUAGGUGGCAGACCAUAUUUAGUUAGCUAUAUACACCCCCACUAAAGUGAUGCCGUAUUCGUUGAACAUCAGACGAUUUAGGUACAUCAAUAUGAGGCAUAUAAGACUAUGAGAAGGAGUAAGCAGCCGACCAUAAAGAGCAUCAAUCAGCAACAAGUUGCAAACGUAGAGCCAUUGCAAGAGCAGCAUCUGCAAUCAUCCUAAAAGUACGUACAAAAACCUAUGACAUACUGUCAUGGAUAUGCGUCAGCUUCCACAAGCACCGGAACCACAACUACUAGGGCUACUUUUCCCUUUUCUAUCUGAAUCAUAUAUAGUGCCAAAAGGGCAACCACAUCGAUUCGAUUUAUGGGCGCAACGGAAUUCUACAACCGAGCAGACCAGCACUAGCUAGCAAAUACUAGUGUCGACGAACAGAUCUAUGAACAGCAGUGCCGGACUGAAGGUGGCCAGGUAGUAUUACCUUAAGUUUGGGGGACGCGGCAUUGGCGUCGAGCGACCCCCAAGCGUUCGCCGCGGCCGGGGCAGGGGCCGCUGGGGCUACGGCGGCGGCGGGGGUGCGGAUGGGUUGGAAGUCGUAGCUGGGCACCAUCACCUCCUCCGUGGCACUGGCGCCGCGGCGCGCGUGGAGGUCGUGGCUCUCCACCACGUCGUCCUCUUGCGGGUUGGGGCCCAUCAGAUCGAACAGCUGGCCGCCGCCGCCGCUGCCACCGGAGGGAGGCGAGGAUGCCGCGCCCGCCGCCGCGAGCCCGAGGAUCUGCUUGUCCAUGAACUGCGACGCGUUCAUCGCGAUCGGGAUUUGGCCGGAGCUGGCUGGCUGGUGGCGGAAGGUGGGGAAGGGGAGGGGUAGGAGGCAAUCUAUCGAGGUCGGUGGGAUUUGUUUCCCGGAUGGAGAAGACUGCGACUCCUGCGAGUAAACGACGAAGUCCUGGUUGGGCCCGAGCAGGCGAGCCCCGCGUUCUCUUUUUGGUGGGCUGCAGUAUUACUAAGGUGGGCCGUAGUUCCGUUCUCGGCCCAGAUUAAUUGCGGGCGAGAAGGAAUCGGCAUAAGUGUGUGGAGGCCCGAAGCCUGGCCCAGCCUAACGGAGAGAGAUGGUGAAACGGCUCGACGCCGAGGAGCACGGUGGCCGGCGGUUUGGUGACGUCGGCCAACGACGGCGGGGAUCGUCGGAGCUGCGUCGCGCGCCUGCCAGCGCCACCGAUCCUCCUCCCGUCGCUCUGCUCGUCAUUCGCGACGGCUGCUACCUGUCGUCUCCUGAGGUCAUGAAGUCAUGAUCGCAGCAGCGGACUCGUAAUUCUCACGAGUAGUAUCAUUUCCAUAUGAAGUAAUUGUUUUUCACUUCUCUAUUUCUUUCUUCUCAUUUUGAUUUCAUGAGUACUUCAUAUUUUCCUCCGUAUUACGUUACUAAUCUUUUUUAGAACAUUUUUUGCAUUGUUUAUAACGUGGUAAGGCGAUCUAAGACGAGCACUAACCACUCUAUGCCUAAGCGACGCCUAAACACCUAAAGCGGCAUAAUUGCAAGCCACUGCCAGGCCGCCUUGCCGUCUAACCAUCCAACAUGGGACAACUUAUAAAUAAUGAUUUAAUGUAUAUUUUCAUUGUACCACUUCUCAUUGAUUUUUUGUAACAGUUAUCAUAAUCCUAUCACCUGGUGGUACCAGAUUGAUAUGUAAGGAUGGCUAGUACCAAGGCCUAUGUUUCAUUGUACCACUUCUCAUUGAUUUUUUUUAACGGUUACCAUGAUCCUGUCACCGGAUGGUACCAGAUUGAUAUGUAAGGAUGGCUAGUAACAAGGCAUAUGUUUCUUUCCCCCUCCUUCAACCAAGUCAAACGAGAGCAGUUUGGCAGGCUCGAAGGAAUUAUAUUCAACGACUGAAGAAAGACGAUGGAGUUUGGUGUUCUAUCCCCUCUGAUAUGGACGUGUGGCCGCCUCCUAUUUAAGGAGGUACUAUAUACAAAGGACCCUACACUAUAACCUGCGGUGGUUCUGGACUACAUUAUACCCAAGGUAACUGAUGAUAUAAAUAGUAAACUUGAGGCCUUUUUCUGAGAAUGAAAUUUUUGAUGCUCUAUUCCAGAUAGAGCCGUUGAAAGCACAGGGCCCUGAUGGGUUCUCGACGCGGUUUUUUCAGCGGGACUGGCUAGUCCUAAAAGAGGAUGUUAUUCCUGUUGUGCAUUAUUUUUUUUGAAACAGGGUCUAUGCCGUCAAGUGUAAAUGACACGGCGAUUGUGUUGAUCCAGAAGGUGCCACACCCAGCUUGCUUGAAGGACUUUCAACCAAUCAGCCCGUGUAAUGUGAUCUACAAGGUGGCAUCAAAGUGUUUGGUUAAUAAGCUCCUGCCUUUUUUGGGUGACCUCAUUUCUGAAAAUCAAUGUGCAUUCAUUCCAAGGCGACUUAUUUCUAAUAAUUCAGUAUUAGCCUUCGAGUGCAUUAAUUAUAUCAGGAAGGUGCUCCGGAUUUCUGUGAUUAUAAGUUGGAUCUUUCCAGCUUAUGACCGUGUUGAUUGGGACUUUUGGAGAAGGCCCUCCUUAAGUGGGGUUUCUCUCAACUUUGGGUUUCUCAUGUAAUGGCUUGCGUCCACUCUAUUAAGUUCAAUGGGAAGCUGUUGAAAUCUUUUUCUCCAUCCAGAGGCCUCAGGCAAGAUGAUCCAUUAUCCCCGUUUCUAUUCUUAUUUGUUGUUGCUGCCUUGUCUGCUUUGGUUAAUAAGGCAAUAGUGCAGGAGGGUUUAGUACCUGUAAAAAUUUGCCGGAGGGCACCACCUAUACCCCAUCUGCUAUUUGCGGAUGAUUCAUUUCUGUUCUUUCGAGUUUCCACUCAGCAGGCUUCAGUGGUGAAAGGUUUCUUGAACAUUUAUGCAACAUCGACGGGGCAAGUUAUUAACCCUUCAAAGUGUUCAAUUCUUUUCUUUGAAAAAUGUCCAACCGUUGUUAUUAAUGAAGUGAAGUCUAUCUUGCACUACUAGGAAAAGGGCUAUAAAUAAGAUUGAUACUAAUGGCGCACCAGGGAAGUAGUGCACCACUACUAUAUACUAAUGGCGCACCUGUUGGUGAUGCGCCAUUAGUGUGGAAGACACUAAUGGCGCACCAGAAACAGGGUGCGCCACUAGUAUUAAUUUUUUUCCAUUUUUCCAUACAUACUAACGGCGUAUCAGGUCGACAAUGCGCCAUUACUAGUUCUAACUAGUAAUGGCGCACCAGGCAGAGAGUGCGCCAUUACUGUAAUUUUUUCUUAUUCUUUUUUUGCAAAACUACUAAUGGUGCACCGUUUCACAGUGCGCCAUUACUAGUUUACUAGUUUAAACUAGUAAUGGCGCACUAUUACACGGUGCGCCAUUAGUGUAUAUAUUUAUAUUUUUUACUUUUUUGCAAAACUUCUAAUGGCGCAUCACCUGCAGGUGCGCCAUUAGUAACCAGGGUUACUAAUGGCGCAUUUCCUUAUGGUGCGCCAUUAGUAACCUGGGACCCCAACAAGAUAUUUUGGACAUCCCCACACAUACCCACUCAUUUUCCCCACUUCAUUCUCUCCACCUCCUUCUCCAAGCUUUCGGCUGCAUCCUCCUCCUCACCUCAUUUCCACCAUAGAUUCAUCAAAAUUAAGUGGUGAAAUUACCUUUUUUGAUAGGUAAGUAAGGGGAAAGCUAUCUUCAUGAUGUAGAUCUACCUUUUUUCUCCCUACCUCGUUCCAACAACGUGCACAUGCACUUUUUGUGGCCUAACUAGAUCUAUGUAUGUUUGUGGUGUUGCAUGUGUUUGUGGUGUUGCAUAUAUGUUUGUGUUUGAAGGUACCGGUAUUUGAAAUGUGAUAGUUGCCAAUAUUUUGCCGGAAUGUUUUGAUUCAUUUCCGUUUCGGCGAAAAUUUUGGCACUAUGCAUUCUUUUUGGUCCUAUUUUUAGGGAAGGUCAUGCCAAAUUUUUUCUUGGUUCUAAAAUAUCGUUUUGCUCUACCCCGCAGGCGACCAUGGUCCGCACGAUGACUGAAGGCAUCGUGAAUAGGUUUUUGAGCUCCGCGAAGGCCGAGAUGCUUCAAAAGAACGAGACGGAGAUAAGAUGUCCGUGUCGAAGAUGCAAGCUGAAGAGCCUUAUUGCGGACCCGGAUUCCAGGCAGGUGCGGGACCACCUGCUCUUGCGUGGUUUCAUGGAUGGCUAUCGGUGGCAAGGUGAUGAAGAUGACUAUGAAGUCGUCCAUGGCCGGGGCCGGGCAAGAAAUGAGGAAGGGCAACAAGACAAGUACCACCGUGGCGAGGGCGGGCGAGAAGACGAAGAAUCUCCAGGACAUGAUCACGACGGUGAUGCUGUACACAGUCAUCAUGUAGAAGAUGUCGUACAUGAUGAUGAGGAAGAUCAAGACGAAGGGCAUGAUCAUGAAGAUGAAGAUGCCGGAGCAGACGACGAUGGAGGCUGGGUGCAGGACCCUCAUAUUCAAGAGCUGCUUCUCAAGCAGACGGAUAACGCAAGAGCUGCUGCCCGAGAGAAAGCCAAGCUGGAUCAACUGGAGAUAGACGCGGUUACUCCAUUGUAUGAAGGAUGCAGGCCCGAGGAUACCCGCCUGAAAGUAACGCUCAUGGCUCUGGAGAUGAAGGUAAAACACAAAAUGACCGACGCAUGCUUCGACGAGAACAUGUCAUUCUGGCACAAACGUCUUCCCAAGGGGAACAAGUGCCCGACCAGUUUCGAGGAGGCGAAGAAAAUCGUGUGUCCUCUGGAUUUAACGCACGUGAAAUACCAUGUGUGCAUGAACAAUUGUAUCAUUUAUCGGGACGAGCACGCGGAGUCUACCAUAUGUUCGGUGUGCGGCGUCACUCGAUACAAGAAGAGGAAGAAAGCUCCUCGAAAAUCGGUGUGGUACUUUCUGAUCACUCCUCGUCUGCAACGGUAUUUCUCGGACCCUAAGGUAGCAAAGCUCCUGCGUUGGCACGCGGAUAGAGAGGAGAAGAAGCGGGAAGAUGACGGAAAUGAUCCGGAGAUAAAUAAAAAAGACAAGAUGCUGAGUCACCCUAAGGAUGCGAGCCAGUGGCAAGCGUUGAACUUCGAAUACCUAGAAUUUGGGAAGGAUCCAAGGAACAUCGUGCUGGGUGCGAGCACCGAUGGAGUCAAUCCGUUUGGUAGCCAGAGAAGCACACAUAGCACCUGGCCUGUGUUUGUGUGGAUGUACAACCUUCCCCCCUGGUUGUGGAUGAAGAGGAAGUACAUUCACAUGAGUAUGCUAAUUGAAGGGCCGAAACAACCAGGGAACGACAUCAAUCUGUAUCUGGGGCUGUUGAAGGAGGAGCUAGACACGCUGUGGAAAACGCCAGCCAAUAUGUGGGACGCCGCAGAGAAAGAAUAUUUCCCUAUGAGAGCCGCACUGCUCACGACGGUGCAUGACUAUCUCGGUUACGGAUAUCUCGUGGGGCAGGUAGUCCAUGGAUUUUCUGGAUGCGUAAGGUGCAUGGAUGACACAACGUAUCGCCAGCUAGAUAGAGAUCCCGGGUUUUCGAAAACCGUGUUCAUGGGACAUCGAAGGUGGCUUCGCGACGAUGACCCAUGGAGGAAACGCAAGGAUCUGUUCGAUGGUGAAACCGAACCCCGAAAACGCCCGUGUACGAGGAGCGGCGAGGAAAUAGACGAGCUGUUGAAAAAUUGGAAAGACUGCCCACUGCCGAGAAAGAAGCAAAAGGCACCAGAGCCGGGAAAGAAGCGAAAGGCGCCAGAGCCGCUGCUGAAGGUAUGGAAAACGAGGUCUAUUUUCUGGAACUUGUCGUACUGGAAGAUCCACCGUGUGCCUCACAGCCUGAUGUUAUGCAUAUCAUGAAGAAAGUGUGCGGGAGUCUGCUUGGUACCCUGCUCAACAUGCCAGAGAGGACCAAAGAUGGGCCGAAAGCAAGGGCAGACUUGAAAUCAAUGGGCAUCAGGAAGGAGCUUCACGCUAAUGAUGAUGAUGAUGAUGAUGAUGAUAAGGCGAAGCAGGACACAGAAAGUCGUCGCAAAGGAAAAAAGGCCAAGAAGACCGGAAAUGACUACCCUCCCGCGUGCUUCACUCUAAGUCAGGAGGAGAUCGAGCAGUUUUUCACCUGCCUCCUAGGAGUAAAACUUCCUUACGGUUACGCGGGGAAGAUAAGCAGAUACCUAGGCCCAGCAAAGCAGAAGUUCAGCGGGAUGAAGUCUCACGACUGUCACGUGCUGAUGACGCAGAUACUUCCAGUUGCAAUCCGUGGGAUCAUGGACGCGCACGUCCGUGAAACGCUAUUUGGCCUAUGCAACUUUUUCGACGUCAUCUCUCGGAAGUCGAUUGGCGUGAGGCAACUCAGAAGGCUACAGGAAGAGAUCGUGGUGAUACUAUGCGAGCUUGAGAUGUACUUCCCGCCCACAUUCUUCGAUGUUAUGGUGCAUCUGCUGGUCCAUAUCAUGGAGGAUAUCAUCCAACUCGGGCCGAUGUUCCUGCACAGCAUGAUGCCGUUCGAAAGGAUGAAUGGUGUCAUCAAAGGAUACGUUCGCAACAUGUCAUGUCCAGAGGGAAGUAUAGCCAGGGGCUUUCUGACCGAAGAGUGCAUCUCCUACUGCACGAAUUAUCUAGGCAUCGAGAACCCCGUUGGUCUGCCCAUCAACAGGCACCUCGGCAGGCUCGCUGGAUGGGGUCACCGUGAGGGUCGCCGCGAAAUGCAUGUCGACUUCGAGGGUCGACUCGCCAACUUUGAAAGAGCAAACCUAGUCGCUCUACAACACAUAGACGUGGUCGAUCCUUGGGUGGUAGAGCACAAAACCUUUAUUGAGAAGACGUACAAUGACCGAGGCCAACAGAGGACGGACGGAGAUAUACUCAAAGAGCACAACUCAUGUUUCAGGCGUUGGUUCAAGCAGAAGUUUCUGUCAUACCCUUUACAUGAGGAUUCUUCCGUGGAAGAACAACUCAUAUUCGCCUUGUCAGAGGGCGCCGAGCACAACCUGAUGACCUAUGAGGCGUACGAUAUCAACGGCUACACAUUCUACACCGAGGACAAGGACAUGAAGAGCGAUGGUUAUCAGAACUCCGGGGUAACGAUGGAAUCCUACACCGGCAACGACAAGGACAGAUACUACGGAAGGAUCGAGGAGAUCUGGGAGCUGAGCUACGCUGGAGAGAAGGUCCCGAUGUUCCGUGUCAGAUGGGCCAAGAGCGUCCUAAAAAAAGACCGGUAUUUCACCACCAUGGUUAUACCCAAAGCCAAAUCCAAGACCGCGGGCGCAAACGUCACCACGAAAAAUAAGCCAUGGGUACUGGCUUCCCAAGAGGACCAAUGCUUCUUCAUUACCGACUGUCAAAGCCCAGUCAUGUUGUCGUAAGGAGAGGCAAAAGGAAGACCAUCGGAAUGGAUGGAGUAGCCAAUGAGCAAGACUUCGACAAGUACGGCGACCCGAAGAUCGAACAUGACGACGACGAUGAAGUAGCAGCACACACCACAAGAAGAAGCAGGACCACCCUACCUAAAGGACGUCCGUUCCACAGAAGAACUCCAUUUGCAAAAAAGAAGGGCAAGAAGAUUGUGAACAGAUAGCUAGCUAAGAUCGAUUGUAUUUAAAUCGUAGUCUUCAUUUCUCGAUUGUAUUUCAUGGGCACUUUUUGAUAUCAUGAAUAUUUUUAAAUUUCAUGGGCACUUUUUGAAUUCAUGAGGACACUUGAUCUCGAUCCCCCUCUAUCUCGAUCUCGAUUCCCCCUCCAUCUCGAUCUUGAUCCCACCCGUACCCUCCCCCGCUAGCUAGAUCCACCGCCGCCGACGACCCACCGCAACCCUCCCCCGCUCCACCGCUGCCGACGAGCACCCGGCCCCCCGCACCCCUGGGGGGGUUAUUACUGUUUUUAUAAAAAAAAUAUUACUGUUAUGAUUUAAACAAGUUUGAACAUAUUUAAACACAAAUAAAUAUCAAACAGGAUUUAAAAUGCAUAAAAAAUAUUGGGGAGCCUGGGAAUCGAACCCAGGACCUCUUGGUGUGUGUGCUGCGUAUUGACCAAUCGGGCUAGUGGGCGGGGUCUGUUGUAGAUAGGGUUAGGUUGUAUAUAACCUGACAAGUCACGCUAGAUUAAAUUACUUAUGGCGCACCCCUCGGUGGUGCGCCAUUGCUAUGGAUGUACUUAUGGCGCAUCCCUGGGUGGUGCGCCAUUGCUAAGCCUCCCCCCACACUAAAAUCCCCAAUCUCCAUUUCUCUCUAAUCCCUCCCCUGCCUCGUCUCACCCGCGCCUGACCACCACCUCCCACCACUUCCCCCGUGCUCGCCGUCCCCGACCGUGCUCGCUUCCCCCGCCGCACCCGACCACCUCCCUCACCGUCCCCCCUCCACCCGCGCCCGCNNNNNNNNNNNNNNNNNNNNNNNNNNNNNNNNNNNNNNNNNNNNNNNNNNNNNNNNNNNNNNNNNNNNNNNNNNNNNNNNNNNNNNNNNNNNNNNNNNNNNNNNNNNNNNNNNNNNNNNNNNNNNNNNNNNNNNNNNNNNNNNNNNNNNNNNNNNNNNNNNNNNNNNNNNNNNNNNNNNNNNNNNNNNNNNNNNNNNNNNNNNNNNNNNNNNNNNNNNNNNNNNNNNNNNNNNNNNNNNNNNNNNNNNNNNNNNNNNNNNNNNNNNNNNNNNNNNNNNNNNNNNNNNNNNNNNNNNNNNNNNNNNNNNNNNNNNNNNNGGCCCGCCGCCGCGGCGCGCCCAGCCGGCCGAACCCUUCGUUGCCCCGCCUCCGGUACAGGACCCCAGCAGCGCCUCCCCCCAUCAAGCAGCCGCUUCCACCAGCGGCGCCCCCCUCCCUAGAGCAGGCGCUCCUGCCCAGCAACGCUGCCGCCCGGAGCUACGCCGGCGACCAGUCCGUAGGCAGGUAGCCACCACUCCUUCAUCCUUCCUCCCUCUUCCCUCAUCCCCCUCCCUCCUUCCUCUUGCAUCCUCUGUUCAAUUUUUUGCUUGCUGCAUGAUUUUUCCAGAGCAUGCUCAAGUUUACAUGUGAAAUGAUUGUGCUUGAUAGGUGUUUGUGAUAAUGCCUCUAAGGGAGGGGGGCAUCGCGUCAUUAGUCUCUGUAUCAGAGUCUUUUUUCCUAGCCGUGUUGUCACCGAAAAAUGCAAUAAAUUCUCAUGGUUCGAAACCUUUGAUACUUGGCUUCUCCAAAUGAGAAAUUUAUGCAUGUAAUAAUUGGUUUACCUUAGUUUGCAGAAAUAUGAAAUUAAGCCUUACUUAGUAACAAUGUUUCAAGAAGAUCAAUUUGGAAGCUCUGCUUCACAGGAUGCCUUCAGACACUUGCACAUAUCUUUCUAACUCAUGCAUUAUUUCAUCUAUUAGACACUUCAAAGUGAUGGCUAUUUCCUUUACCUUAGAGGAAAAACAAAAUAAUAUCUUCUACUUUGCCUAGAGGAAAUAUAAUUUCAUGGACUACUUGUUAUAUCAAAUUUUUAGCUAAGUUUUGUCUCCCUGCGAAAAUUGGGCAAAUUCCUUCUCAAAAUCACAUGUUUUAACUAGGAAGAACCUGAGACACUAUGGCAUCAACACUUGUAAGAAAAGAAAUAGUAGGAGAAUGAAGAUUAUAUUAAAAAUGGUAUUAGUAGUGGUAAACAAGCAUAUAAUCCCUCCCAGGUAGUAACAAUAACUUUAUGCAGGAGAGUGAAAGAAGAAGCAUAGGCGAUCAGGUUCGAUCACGGUUGGAGAAAAAUUGAGGUGUUUGUUGGCUCCAAGACAGUGAUACAGGUAUAUACAUGUGCUCUGCUUACUUGAUCAUACAGAAGAUUUUCAUAUAAGAGUUACGUUUCAAGUUGCUGAACCUUUUCAUAUAAGUUUGCUUCCAAGGAGUUGUUCUCUGUCUGGUCCAAUUCUGAAGAAAUAAAAAGUGAAUAGUUUGUUUGCUCCCUGUGUGGUCACUCUAUUUUUUGAGUACUGACAUUAGUUAUGUUUGUUAGCAGCAAGAUAUUUAAAUGAAGCUUGUUCUUUUUCAACUGUUCAACUGAUGCCAUGAAACUGAAUAUAGUAGUUGAAAACCCUGUUUUCUUCCUGAUCAUGAAAAUUUGAAGUCCUGUUUGUGUUUUGGUUUUGUUGGUUGACAAUUAUGUUUAGUUUUUUAUUUCAUGGGUGCUGUAAAAUGUGCAGGUGGUGAGUUGAGGCUCAUCAUACAGCUUGUUUGGACUAACCAAGAGGACGAGGUAUGUUGCUUGCCCAAGCUAAGUGACACGUACACGCCAAGUUUUCUGUUAUAUAAUUACCUGUUAGUGCUUAGUUAAACUGCAUGAUACGGCCAUAGCAGAUGGAUGGUACUAGGUGUUGUUUUGUUUCUUGCCAAUGUAUUCAGAGAGAAGAUGUGCCACUGCAGAUUUCUUUUCUUGAAGGCAGCUCACAUAAGUUGAGCUACAAGUGAACAACUUGCUGCUAUUAGAUCUGGAAUGGAAGCUCACAUAAGUUGAGCUGAUUUUUGUCCAUAUGAAAGCAGAGGACCAUAUGGUCUGUGGCCUUUUCAUCCAUAUGAAAGUAGAGGCACAUUGUGGUGCUAGUUUGCUGGGUUUUGUCUCCGACCAUCGUGUCGUGAUGAAUUUGCAGGUACCCCGAGAGGCCCUUGAGUUUGCCGGAAUGUCGAUUAACUUCCGUUCUGGCAAAUUCGGGUACUCCAUAUGUCCUAUUUUCAGCAAAGGUCAUGCUAAAAUUUUCUGUGAAUUUUAGCAUGACUUUGUUAAAAAUAGGACAUAUGGGGUACUUGCGAUAAUGCAUGGGCCGGGGUAUCUUAGUACUUAAUUAAGUAGGAUCAACUGCCCCUUUAUUCUUCCUACAUUAAACCAUAGGUGGUAAUAGAGCCAAGUGAUUAGGCCCAACUUAGAAUUCUCCUUAGCAUCGAUAAACCCUAGAUGAUAAACCCAACAUAGGUGGCAAUAGAGCCAAGUGAUUAGUGCCUAGUGAUUAGGCUCAACCUAGGGUGCCUCGGCAUCGAUAAACCCUAAAUGAUGAAAACUUAACUUGGCUGCCCCGGAUGCCUCGGUGUCGAUGAGAACCUAAAUGAUGUACGCUUAGGCUUUUAGGGUGCCUCGGCGUUGACAAACGCUAAAUGAUGAAAGCUUAGGCUUUUAGGGUGCCUCGGUGUCGACAAACCCUAAAUGAUGAGACCAUGAUCAUGUUCCGUGACAAUAACCAACUUUUUGACAAAACUUUUUUCCUAUUUAGAGCGAAACAUGGCCCACAACGAUGAGGCCGGUGGUUCGGGCGGCAAGCAAUUCUGGGAGCUGUCCCGGUAGAUGGAGGAACAACCUCACCGCUAUGAGGAUGCCGCGGAAGACAUCGAUCCUGAUUACACAACCCCUAGUGGCGUCGGGGAUGACACCACUGAUGGUGCCGCCGAGGAUGCCACCACUGAUGAUGGCGGCGCACACACAGAUGGCAGCCAACCGAAGAAGCAAAGGAAGGACCGGCGCCCGAAUGCGCCCCGCACCCUCAAGGAGGAAUUCACUCAAGUGGACUCCGACGGGAAUCCAACGGAGCCCAAACAUAUAGUCAAGAGGUACUCGCUUUAGCUCAGGUGCAUUCUCCGGAGCACCGUCUCGAUCAACACCGAGAACCUUAGGCAUAAGGACCGAGGAAAUUUGCGCAACCUCCUCUUCACGAAGUUGCACGAACGAUACAAGUUCCCCGCCGAAUUUGAAAACACACGCCUCUCAGGGAAUAAAGUGAACAGUGCCGCCCUCACGAAGAUGAGCACGGCCCUGUCUACUUGGAAAAGCGCGGUGAAGAGAAUGAUUGAUAAAGGUGAUAGUUAUGAGAAUAUCAAGGCGAAAUAUCCUUUGAUGAGCGAAGAUGAGUACAAGGAGUUCAAGAUCACGUGCGAGAGCAGUGCAACCUCUGAAUCAAGUCAGUGGGGGAAAGAAAUGCGGGAGUUGAACUUAGGGGAACACAAACUCGGUCCCGGCGGUUACAGAGUGGCGGAGCCUAUAUGGGACAAGGAGGACACGAAGCGUGCCGAGCAAGGCCUACCGCCCCGCUUCGAGAAAUACAGCGGUGACAAGCAGACCAAGAACUAUGUCAGGGCCCGGUACAAGGAGGACCCGAUAACAAAGGAGCUUACCACGGAUCCGAAGACCAGGGCGCUUGAGCUUCUUCUGGUAAGGAAUACACCCCCGCGUAAUUAGCUCCAUAUGGUUGCACUCUAAUUAAUCCCCAAUAUUUCUAAAUGGUUCACGUUCCUUUCGCAGGACACUGAAAGCAGUAACGCGGGGUCGUCUAAGAGCUUCCCUUUUGACACCCCUUUAAAUAGGGCGUUGAACGUAAUGAAAAACAAGGAUAAGCUCACUAAGCCGACAUCAGCUGGUCGUGUGGCCGGCAAAGGCUUGUCCACAAAAUGGGGGUCAUACUAUACCGCUGGUGUGCGGAAGGAGAAAAAGACCAGCUCGGAAAGCCAGACGCGCGAGGUUGAAGAACUCAAGGCACAAGUGGCGCGGAUUCCGGAGCUUGUCCAAGAGCAAGUGCAACAACAACUUGGAACGACGCUCAACGCCAUGGUGCCUACGUUGGUUCAUGGGCUGACGACGUGGAUUGCGGGCGGCCAACAGGGGCCUCCCCCGGUUCCCAGCUUCACGGCCAGCAACUCGCACAGCACGCAGGCGGCGCCAUUGGUGUCUCCGGCGGCGGCGCCAUUGGUGUCUCCGGCGGAGGCGGUAUUCGUGUCUCCAGCGCCGGCACAGGCAUUGGAGCUUAAUGCACCUGGGUGUACGCCGGCCGGCACCUCGCCAGCAAGCGCCCCCUCCGUCAGUUGCAUGCCCGCCGUUGGCGGUGCCUCGACAUUAGCCGAGCUCGACGGCAUCACGGUAACCAAGCCUCUCGGCCGAUGACUUCAUCUCCUUGCCUUUGACUGGGCAUCCCUGACGCCCUGUACAUGUUUUCGCAGGGCACCGCUGACGUUCCUUGCACUCUUCUGCACUUCGUGGGCAUCGAGUUGGUCGAUGUCGCCAAGGGCAGAAUCGUUCAACCGGGCAACCCCAUGUUCCACGGUAAUCCGAUGCCACCCACAAUGUAUAGGGUUGAAGUGGUUCGGGUGCUGCCAGGCUGCGACGAGCUGUUACCUCCGAUUCGACCCGCUGGGGCCGACGAAGAAGAUGAGAUGACCCUCAGCACCUGCGUAAACUGGCCCCUGCUUUGGCCGAAGAGCCAGAUUCGUUUGGGGGCCGGGCACACCACCCCACAGACAAGACCGCCAAUCGUGCCGGCGCCAAGCCAUGGCAAGAAUGCCGCAACACUACCGGACCUGCCGGACAUCCCUAUGGCACAGGAUCCGGACAGCCCUAUGGCACAGGAUCCGGACGGCGACGACAACGAUGACGGUACAUUUAUCAAAGUUGAUAAGUACUUUGCCGAACAUGGGUACGCUGACGAGUUCUGCGGGCCUCUUUCUCAAGAACCCAACCAAGACGACCGCGAUCUAGCUGGUACGGCGGAGAAAUCCAAUUGCAAUAGGCGUCGUCUGGCAUUCAGUUCUCAGGACACGCCUCCAGCUCCCGCCUUCACCGAGCCUCAGAUAGCUGAGGUGCGAAAUACUAUCAGCCCCAACACGCUCAAGAAGGCGGUCUGUGAGCAGAACUCGAUCCCAUUACAGGAGAUCAAGAAGAAGGGAUGGAAACGAAAGACUAACAAGGGCGCCGGUGCGAGCCAGCCGGCACCGAGUUUGAUCCGUGCUCAGGACGGGCCACCUUCACCUAAGGAUAUCUCGAGGAGGGUGCAUGUGGCGGGUAGGGCGAUGCUACCGCCAAAUAUGCUGAAUGCUGCAACCGGUGCUAUGCGGAGUCUGCACGACAGUGUUCUUUCUUUGGAGAAGCGGCGUCUCAGAGAGAAGGAUGUGGCAUACCCGGUUUUCGUGGCCAAGGUGCCAGAGGGCAAGGGCUUUGUGGAUGGCGACAUCGGGGGUACGAUCGUCCUGCGGUUUGAUGACAUCUUUGCUAUGUUUAACCUUCAUCCGCUGCACUACACCUUCGUUCGGCUGUUUUUGCUGAGUAUGGAGAUGCGGAUCAUUAGAGACAAGACCCCGGACAUCGUGAUAGUCGACCCCUUCUACAUGCGUGCCAAGCACUUGAGCAGCGCUGGGGAUCGCCAAGUUGCGAGUUCACACCUCGAAGGCGUCAUUCUGGCAAACCCAGAUAAGGAUAACUUCCUUGUGGCUUACUUUCUCAAGUAAGUCAUCCCUUAACCACCCCGUAACAUAUGAUUUCUUAGAUUUCGUUCGUUCUUUUUUUUUCUAACAUUCCGUGUUCUGUGCAGUGACACACAUUGCACACUCAUCCUCUUAAGCCCGAAAUAUUCCAUGGCCACGUAUUUAGACCCGAACCGUAACUCCAAGAAAGACUACACAAAUGUCAAGAAAGUUCUUGAUGAUGUUCUCCCCGCCUACGCCAAAUCUGGAGGCACCUUCACCAGGGCAGUUCGUAAGUACGGCAAGCACAUGUUCUCACAAAUACGAAGUUCUGCUGUGUCAAGCAGCCGCCUGGCGGUCAGAAGGAUGCCUACUACGCCCUCCAUCACAUGCGGGCGAUCGUAAGGGACCAUCAUCAACUUCUGCUACCGGAUAAUCUCAAAGAUUGGGCCGCGAGCUUGUCGGCAGUCCAGGACGCGGACCUCAGACAAGAAUUCUUGCGCAUCCAGUCAGAGUUUGCGGACAUCAUCCAUCAAGAUGUCCUUCAUACCUCGGGGCAGUUCUUCCUCAGAUAUCAACCGUCCAACAGUGAGAUAGAUGAAAUGCUACAAAUGCAGGGUGACAACGACCGCGAUUUCAUGACCAUCACGACAGACGGCGGCUUCAUCCACGUUCCUGUCCGAUGAGUCGAGUCGAAAGUAGUGAUGUGUAGUUCUGAAACAUUGAUUGGCUCAUGUUGUAAUUAUACUUUAAUGAAUUCGUAUGUCUCUUUGGUUUGGACAGUCGUUCAACUUAGAUGUAAUCGAUGCUAUUUAUUAGUAGGACCAUGAAUCGUGCUAUUAAUGUCUUGCUUUUCUCUUCCGACCCUUUUGUUGCAUACUUACAUAUUGCUUAUGUAUUGUCUGUUGUUUGGCUUGUGCAUAGAGAUGCCGUCAUAUGUCGUGUACAAGGGUAAGGUUCCCAGAGUCUACGACGACUGGGAGGAGUUUCGGAGACAGGUUCACCGUUUCAGCGGUAAUAGUUACAAAGGGUACAUCACUAGGGCGGAGGCCGAAUCUAGAUACGCCCGCUAUCUAGCGGGAGAGAGGAGGGAGCGUUGGAGGAACCGGAUGAAGACCAGUUUGAUCGCGAUGAUGCUCAUCGUGAUGACCACAGCUCUCUUCUAUGUGAUGGUAGUUUAGAUGAUCGAUAUCGACUUGUAAUGUGAAGACAAACUCGAUACUCGCGGUCUUAAGACUUGUAAUGUUUUAUCUUUGUUCGGUCUUUUGAAUUCGGAGACUAAUAUGAUGAAUUGUAUUCGGAGACUAAUCUUCUAUUGUAUUCGAUGAAUCUGAUGUUGCUGUGUGCUGCUGUCUAUAUUCUGUCUAAUAAUAUAUUUUAUAUUCUGUAUAAUAAUAUAUUUUGUAACCUGCGCAAAAAUCAAAAAAGGAAAAAAAACUUAACCUGCGCAAAAAUCAAAAAAGGAAAAAAAAA
Molecule: long non-coding RNA, 47100 nt
Filed under: Triticum aestivum (bread wheat)
Lineage: Eukaryota; Viridiplantae; Streptophyta; Magnoliopsida; Poales; Poaceae
Description: long non-coding RNA (TAES_LNC017308)
Source: RNAcentral